UUCACCGUCCUAGAUUUGAACCCCGACUCUGCAUAAAUUAUGCAUUAUUUCUUACCAAGUGAGUUAAGUUUACGGAGAUAUUUUUUUUUCUAUUGAUAAUAAAAUCAACUGUUUAGUCUUUUAUGAAACAAUAUUAAUUUUAGAAAAUAUUUUAUUAAGUCUAGUAGAAUAUGAGACCAAUAUUAAUGUAGUAGAAUAUUGAUAAAGAGGAUUUUACAUGUACUCGUACAACAGUAAGUAUUAUAACGGUUUUAUCAAAAAUAAAUUGUAUCGAAUUACACACAUAGACCACACUUAGGUACUGUUUGGCCAGACUUUUUUCGGUCUAAAAGCUACUUUAAAAUAAAGUUAAAAUAAAGCUCUUUAAGAAAAAGGCUAAAGUUGUUUGGUUUCUUUAUUUUUUUUAGUUCUAAAGUUAUUUUUGAGUUAAAAGCUGUUUGGCAAAAUAUUGUACAAAACUUUGAAUUUAUUAUUUUUUGGUGGUGUCUGGGGUUCGAACCCGGGAUCUUGCAUAUAUUUAUGCAUUGUCUAUAAAUAAAUAAAUAAACUUUGAAUUCAUUAUGAAUUAACAUAAUAAAUAAAAAAAUGUCUAAAAUAUUUUUUGAAGGGAAAAAAUGUUUAAAAUAUAAAAGAUAUAUUUUUACCAAUACUAUAUUUACUCAAUGACGUUUAUUUUGUGUAACAUGAAUACAAAUUUGUACAAUAUCUUUUCCAAUUAUACUCUAUAACAAAUUUUGUUAUAAGAAUACCAUAUUUUUAGUGUUGGUCAAAAAGAUAAGAAUUUAUAUUAUAUAAUAUUAUAUUUGUUACAUUGCUGGUGUCAUUGAAAAAGAUAUGUUUAGUUUUUUUAAUAAGAAAAAGAUAUGCAUAGUUUGUUACAAUACAAAUGUGUAAAUUAUAUAUAUGUAUAAUUUUUUUAGGCAACUACACUUGUACUUUUAAUUAAAAUCAAAAUUUUAUAAAAAUAAUUAUACGCAUUACACAACACUAACAAAAAUUAUACGCAUUAGCAUAACAAAACAAAAAAACAGAAAAAGGAACAUAAAGUAUUACUCUAAACGCUAACGUGUGUGUAUUUCCGUGGUUGAAGAAAGGGAAUAAAAAUAUUCGGUGUCAUUCAUUGACAGCGUGAAUACCAAUAUUUGCGAGGUUGUGAUAAUCAAAAGAUAUUGAAAUUAAUAUAUAAGUGAUAAAAAGAUAAUAAAAUUCCUUAAAAAAAUAGAUAAUAAACUUUAAUGGAACCUCAUUAAAAAAUUAAAUGGACCGGUUAAAAAAAAUAAAAUAAAAUAAAUGGGAAGAAAAAAGCAUAUUGAAAAAAUAAAACAAAAGGUUGCCGGCGGGAGUUGAAGAGAGGUGCUUGUGAAAUAAAUUGGGAAGAAAUAGUUUUUUGAAGUAGCAUUCAACAACUUUUGGUUAAAGCUCAUUCCAUUCAAUUUUAUGCAUUCUAAAAAAAGUACCUUUUUUCGAAGGUACUUUAUUGAUAUUGUGUUUGGCCUAGUUUCUCCUUAAAAACAUAGAAAAGCUGAAAAAAAGCCGGAUCAAACGGUAGUUAGUCUUGUCUCUUCUUCACCAUGUUCUAUCUUGUAACCAUUUUUUGUGUUUGAGGUCUAAUUUAAAACUUAUUGAUUGGGAUUAGUAAAUAAAAGGAUUGGGUCGAAUUCCGUAAAACCCUAUGGUUUUUAGAUAUAAUCCCAUUUUGGAAGUAGUGAGUAGUUGGUAGCACGUUUACUAGUAGGCAGAGGUUAUGAUAAUUUAAGUGCAAGAGAAAGCCGCCACGUAGGAAACGAUGAUCUUCCCACUCCGUCAAAAUGAUCGAGUUUGUGGGCCCUGUUACAUCAGUGAUGUGGGUCCUGUUUUAGAUGCUCUUCAUUACCUUAGCUAUGCUCUGGUUCCGAACCACGUUGCUCUGGUUCCGAACCACUCUUUUGAAUUUUUUGAACGUUACGGCCUUACAGGAGAAUGCUUGCUUUCACUAUUAUAUCCUUUUCACAUGUUUAUAUUUUGAUAUUAACUUGGAUCAUAUGCAUUCAAUCAAACAAUUUCAUAAUAUCACAUUUUUAACUAAGAUUUUAAAUUUCUCUACAAAUACCUAUUUUUCAUAAUUUAAUUGAAUAUAUAUGUAAAAAAAUACAUCGUCAACAUUUAUAAAUUAUUCUCUAACUUUUUAAAACUUACAUGUAUGUUUAAUGUUCAUUGUGAUCUGUCAAUAUUGUAAAAAAGAAUAUAUAAUAUCAAUAAACUAAACUAUUUGUUUUUUAUCAAUAGUUAAAUAUGUUUACUUUAUACACGAUCGUCUCCGACAAUUCAGAGGUCCUCUUGUAAUCUUGAUAAUUCUAAUUUAAAAACUAUUGAGAAAAAAAUUCAACAUCACUUAGCGUGACAAACAUAUACAUUCUAGUCAAAUAUACGCGCAAUUGUUCAAAAAUAACUUUUACCGACAGAUAAAUAGACGUUUACCUAUAGAUAAUAUAUAAUUGACAGCAAAAUAGAUGAAUUAUGGACUUUUACCUACGGAAAAAUGACAUUUAGUAACAAAUUUUGUCCGUAAGUGCAAUUUUUUUUUUCUUUGUUUCAAACUUUGAAGUCCUUUAAGUUUGAGGCUAUGUGCCGAAAGGCUUUGAUGCAGAUGAUAUAGCCGGCCCUGACUUUAUACUAUAAUCAAGUUAACUGAUAACAUUAAAGAAGUGACACCCCCUUAAAAAAAACAGUGGUGUGUUUGUUUCAAGUUUACCAAAUUUAUUCCUAGGAAUAACAUUCCUUGGAAUAAAAUUCCAAGGAAUUUAGAAAAAAUAUGUUUGGUUAGCUUUAUAAUAUUCCUAGGAACCAUAAAAAUAGGGAUUAUAAUAGGUAAACUAUUUAUGAAUUUAUUCCCAUCUCCAUGGGAACUUUAUUCCCACCCUUUUUCAUGGGAAAUUUUUUCUAUUCCCAGGAACAUUUUAUACCCGGGAAUAAAAUUUAGUAAACUUGUAACAAACAUAGACAUAUACAUUCCAAUCAUUUUAUUCCCGGGAAUCAACAAUUAUAACUUGAAACAAACACACCCUAAAGAAGUGGAAUCUUCAAAAUAACUUUUUUUUAGGGGAGUCUUCAAAAUAACUUGUAAAUUAUCCAAUUAACCUCCAUAUUUGUUAGUUUUUUUUUUUGGAGCAUCUCCAUAUUUGUUAUCUAAAAUCCAAAAUAUCUUAUUUUGUCACAAAUGUGCUUGAUCUCACUCUAAAUAAAUAAGACAUUGAGAGAAUCCGAUGCAUAUCAAUAUUGUGCAACUUAAAAAUGCCGGCAAUAUUUAAUUGAGGGCAAUAAUUACUUUGGUCAAAUGAUUAGUCAUAAAAAAAUUUCGAUGUAUCAAAAUUUUAAAAUAUUCACUAAUUAUGCAUUAUGUUAGUCAAAAUAGUCACUAACACUAAAAUAAUCUUUUAAUGUUCAAAAUAACUCUUUUUAUAUAGAGACUGAGAUGAUAAUAAGUCAGUACUUAUAAUGGCUGAUAUGACAAUAAUAUGACAAUAAGUAAAAUAUAUUGAAGAACUAAUAUGACAAUAUUAAUGAAACAGUUUAACAACAGAGACUAUUUUAACUAACGAAUUGCACAAUCAUGGACUAUAUUGAAGUUUUGAUACAUCGAAAAACUAUUGUGAUUACUCAUUACACAUUCAAGGAUCAAAUUAAUAUAUUUUAUGUAAUGAUCAAAUUAUUUAGUUUUUUUUUUUUUUUUAAAAGAUCAAUUUUUAACUUGAUAUAAAAACACUAAAUAUGUACUUGACAAAAAAAAAAAAACUACUUAUGCUUACACUUUAGGCCUGCCAAAUGUAUUGUCUCAUAACGCAUUAUGCCCCGAUGAGUUCAAAGUACAUUGAAGAUGUUGCUACUUGACUGACUCGAAGCCAACCAGGUUCGCCUGAGGGCUGUUCAUGGGUUGGAUCAAUCCAAAAAACCCGUCAAACCCACCCAAAAAAAUGGGUUGGGUGAUUGGGUGGACAUGGUUUUAAAAAAUGAUAAACCCAUAAAAAAUAACUGGUUUUGGGUAAAACCAGACCCAAACACAUUAAACCCACUUACCCAAUAAUUUUCAUAUUUUUAUUUUCAUUUUCAUUUUCAUAGGGAGGAAGGAGAAUAACAAAGGUUUUGGUUAUAAUUUUUCUUUUAAAAAAAAAAUGGUUGUAAAUCAAGUCUAAUUUUAAAAAUUGACGCAACAAAUCCUUUACAUUGAAAAUCAAAGUUUAAUUUCUAAAAUUGACACAACACAUCCUCUAUAUUGAAAAUCAAAACAUGUUACAGCUACAAAUUAUGUUGUUGCACUUUUUAGUUAUUUUGAUGUUAAUGAAAUUUUUCGUCAUCCAACUUUAGUUUGUUGCAAGUAUUUUAUGAUGAAAUUUGUUAUUUAAUAUUAUAACUUAUUAUUUUAUAACGCUAAAAUAUAGCAAAAUAAGAUACACAAUUUUUUUUUUAAGAAAAUUAAAAGUUUGAGUAAUUUUUAUGAGAAAAAAAUACGAGGACGCGUCAUUUAAUAUUAACAAAAAUAAAAUAAAAUUUGGGUAACCCAUAACCCAACCCAAACCAAACCGAAAACUAGUGGGUUUGUCCAAACCCAACCAUUAAUAUAACGGAUGGACGUUUUACCUCACCCAAACCAGAGUAUCAUAUAUAGUUCAGAUCUUGGGUUUGACAAAACCCAGUCCAAACCCACCCACGAACACCCCUACGCCUGAUCUACAAAGUUUCUAUUUAGACUAAUGGGAUUGGGGCAAUAAGAUCUACUAGAAAACCAAAUGUGCAUAGAGAUUAUUUCUUGCACAAGGUAAAAAAAGGGUGAGUACUCAGGGUUCAACACACUCUACUGUAAAAUUUCUUGCUAAACAUGGUCACCCAACUGUUCCUAAAGGAACACAUCCAUCUAUCCCUCACGAUGUUACAUCACCCACAACCAAUCAUUGCAUAGACUUGACAUUGCAGGGAGCUACUUUCACUCAUUUUGUGCAACCAAGUUCCAAGAGGAAAAAUGUUUCAGUUUCAUUCAAUAUGCCAGAACUGAAUAGUGACUUGAAUUGUGUUAGUAACCAUCAAGUUAAAGAUAAAGCUGUUCUGCAUUCUACCAAUUUGGUUCACACUGAAGUCAUAGCUAAUAUGCUAAAACACAGCUUUGUCACUCAAACCCGGAAGGUGGAUGUUGGCAUCCAUUCUGAGGUUGCUCCUUCAUCACAAGCUCAAAUCACAUCUCAUUGUGAUACCAUUAGAGUUAAUCAAUCCAAUGAAGACAUUGCAGCUAUUGCACAGGAUUGCAGAGAAAAUUUGAGCCUACAAAAUUCAUUUGCUUCUUUGGAUGUUGUGAACCUUAUGGAUUUGGGGGAGGCUUUGUCUGAGGGACCGGAGAACAUAGAUGCUUCAUCUGACAUGCAAAAGGCAGUCCAUGAUGCACCUAUUGUCACUCCUCUUGAGAAUGUUGGUUUUGCCCCCGUUCCUAUGUCGCAACCUAUAACCACCAGAUUUGCUAGCUUAUCUAGUGACAAGCUCCCUUCAAGCCAAACCUUGAUCCCUGCUUCCAAACCCCUUUCUGCUGCAGCCUUAAAGAGUGUGCAGAUUCUUUCCAAAUUUUGUGGGGAUGAGGUAGAAUAUGGUGAUGUAGAAGAGGACAACGAGGAAGCCGUGAUUUCAGACUUUGAGCAGCACUAUCCAAGCCUAUCGAAGAGCACUAGAUCAGAAGAAAGAAAAAAAAAAGAAUCAAUUGCGCAAAGUGAAGCCUGCUUGCUUUAACUCAGCCGAAAUGAGGACCCGUGCCCAAAAGGGUACCUUCAAAAAUGACUUGGCAGCUACAGAAUAAUUGGUUUUAUUGCAAUAGAAUAGCUAGAAAUGUCAUUUAUUUGGUAUAUUUUUUCAUAGGAGGGUAGUCUUGUAGCAGUUGGUAUGGUAAUAUGGUCAUAAACUGCCUAGUUUUUUAGGAUCUUUCCUAUCUAGAGAUAGAUCUGGAUUUUCUUUUCAUAAGUUAUCCACUAUAUGACUCUGUUGUAUUGAUUCAGGCAUCUCCUGUCUUUUAUAUUUUAGUGCUUUGCUAAAAAAAAAGUGCGUAGAGAUUAUUUGUAUUUAAUAUACCUCGUCAAUUGGAGGAGAGUCUAGUAAUUUACUUAUAGUUACUUAAUUACAAGGUGAUUUGAUCAUUUAUACAUACAAAUUUUUUGUAAACCAAAUGUAUUAUUUGCCCAUAGUUAUAGAGAUUAAUCUAUUUGAAAUAACUAAAAUAUAUUUAAGAGAUUGAACUAUCUCAACAAAAAUUGUUUCAUACACAUCGAUUAAAUAUUAAACCUUAAAUCAAAUGGUUAAAGGAUCCAAAUAUUUAAUAUCACUAGACUAUCGACCCGUGCUCCGCACGGGUCCUACCACGUAAAAGUUAAUCGAAUCAAUCGCAAUAAUGUACAAUAGAUUUAGUUGAUAGAAGUUUUAUAGCAAUUUAAAAAUAUGUUCCCUUCUAAGACAACAAUAGCAGCAAAAUGAAAUGGUAGCAUACAUAACAAAAGUUAUUUCGAUUAGCAAAAGGUUGUAAUUCCCCUUGUUGAAUCCUACCAGGAUAUUCUCAAGCUUUUAUGUUCCUCCUUCUUCAACCAUAUUUUGCAUCGUUGGCACCAAGAAUUUACGAACAGUAGCAUGGAUCCGUCCUCGUUAAACAAAAAUAACAUGUCAUUAACAUAAAUCAGAAUAAACCUAAUCGCAGUGGCACUCUAAAUUAUUGUUUGUGGUAAGACAUUAGGUUUAUAUAAAAUACUUUCUCAUCAACCAAUAUCAUGUUCAUGAAGAUGAUGUCAUCUGGAUUUUCGUUAUCACGGAUGAGCCAGAUAUGGGCCACACGCACAAGAAACUUCAAAUCCUUCUUCCCACCUGUCACGACUGAAAUGGGGAUGAAAAUGUUGGCCAUCUUUGCAGUCGAAAAAAACAGUUAUUUUCGCUUAAAGAACAGAAUAGAUGUAUUCUCACAACUAAGUGGUAUUUAAAUAGGUAAUUGACAAGUUGAAUUUGAAAGUUUUAAAUGUCGAUGACCAUAGUCUUCUAUUGGUACUAAUUAUUAUUCAUUGCAGCCAUAAAAUCAAUUAUUGCAAAUUAAUUUGUAAUGCUCUGCGACCUGAAAUUUCGAUUAGCAAUAAUGAGCAAUGAAUUUCGAUUUUUAUAAUGAUAGAAUAAUGCAUAAUGAUUGACACAUGUAUGUCUUUAUGAGGUAACUGUGAUGAAAACAUGCUAGCUAAUCAAAACAGGCUCAUCAAUUCCCUCUAUGUCAUUUAAGUUUGUGCGCAUGGCAUGCCUUAAAAUGGACUGCCAAUAAUGAUCGAGUGAACAUAUAAAAGGCAAGUCAACCUGUAUGCAUUUAAGGAAAACUAACCAAUAAUGCACUUUAAUUAUCCUUUGUCUGCAAUUGAUAGUGUUUAAUCAUAUGAUCGAUUAUUAGUUAGGAUUCAACUGAUAUGCGAAUAGUACGAAUAUGGUAAUAUAAUCAUUGUAGUCAUGAAUGCUUUCAAUAUAAUCAUUAAUUGCUAAUCGUAUUUUUCUAAUAAAGUUUUUUGUUAAUAUAAUCAUUGUAGUCAUGAAUGCUUUCAAUAGGUAGUAAUUCAAAAGGAGAGCACAUUAAACUGGAAAGACAAUAACAUAAAUUUUAUUAAAAAGAAAAGAUAAUUUGAAAACAUCAAAAUGGAUCCAACUACAUAAACCCUAAAAACUGAACUCCAUCAAAUCAAAAUGGAUCCAACUACAUAAACCGUAAAAAUUGAACUCCAUCAAUUGGCCUGCAGACAUCAAACUCACAGUAGUUGGGCGCUUGACUUGAAUGUAUAUGGUGUCAUUCAUGCCAGCAUGUGAAAACCCAACUUUAACCAUGACACCUUCAUCAAGUCUGCGCGCCUGUACCAUUCUUUUCCAUCCUCCACCAAGUUUGAUGUGGUGAUGUGGACUGGAUCCAAAUAUAGUGAUACAAUUCCACUUGUUUCCACAGUCAUCAAUCAUUGUCAAUGAAGUGGUCUUUUUCCCGAUAGUUAAAUCACACAGGCCCUUGUAAAUAAGCAUCUGCAUAAAAAUUACAAUCUGUAUAACUAAAUUUUUAAAUGAGGUGAUAGAAAUGUUCCUAAAAAAGCAAUGUAAUGCAAAAUCAAAAUACCAUAAAUCCAGAAGUGACAUCAAAACCAGUUAAAUUCUUCUCCCACGAGAUUUGAAAAUUUCUCUCAUCAUGAUGGAAUGUGAGGAUUUCACAUGUGACCGGAACACCUUCAUAUGCAAAGGCUGGCACGAUAGUUUUCUCAAUCUCAAAUUUCAUAGAAGGAAUAAAAAGAGGAGGAUCCACAACACACCCUGAUCGAUCAAUCACAUUAAUCCCAAACUGUCCAGCACUGGUAAACACCAUCAUAAUAGUUCCACCCAAACGAACAUCAUAAAAGUCGCGUAUGGCAUUGAACCCAGUAGUUAAAAACACACUACCACAUAUCCUUUCAACCAUAACCUCAAACUGGUUGUUGUUAGGGUCGAUAAAAGUGACGUAAUCACCUAGUGAUGCACCAAAAUCAGAGACAAAGGGUUUUGGCAACAUAAGUGCACCUUGUUAAACAUAUACAACCGAAAUUAGUAAGUGAAAAUGCUAAUCAAAUGAACUUUUUAUUUGAAUUGUCGCAUCUAUAAAAAGACAAUAUUAGUAAUCCUGCACUCACAUCUGUUACACGUAACUCAAGUCGAAGAGUUCUAUAUUGAACUCGCAAUCUGUUAACAAACUUGUCCAAAUCAGUUAUAGGAUUUGGAUCUAAUGGAGCUGAAAAAGAUCAAAGAUUCAAAUAAAUUAGUGCAAGUUGAAAAAUAUAAACGAAACAAAAAAUAAGAGAUCAAGAAAGAAGAUGAAACAUGGUUAGAUUUUUUUGUUUAUUUGUACCCUUCAAGCAGUGCAAUGCUAAGAGAGUUAAUGACUCACUUUCCAUCGGUAAGUCUAAACUGUCUUGAUCUAAAAAUGAUGUUAGGAGAGGAUAAUGAGAAUACAAUCGUUAAAAGUUUUUGUACAUAAAAAUGAUGGUAGGAGAUGAUAAUGGUAGGAUAUGGUAAUCGUUAAGAGUUAUGGUGAUUUGAUUAGCAUUAACUACGUUUUCAAUGACCAUUAUGAUGUAUCUAUAUGAGAGAGGAAAUGAGUAGUUUGAAAAUAGAGUUUGAAUCAACGACUGAGAUUAGAUACAUGCUUAGGAGGGAAAAAAGCUAGUGAUUAGGGCAAACAUGCUAGCUAAUCAACUCUAGCUUUUAUAAUAAAGGAUGUUACGUUUUUUUUUUUAGUGAAGGGUCAUGUUACGUUGGUAUUCAUAUAUACAGAUGGUUACAAGGUACAAUAUCAUUGAUUUCUAUUAGACUCCACUCAAAAUAUUUGAUAGAAGCUUGCUUGGGUAUCUUUCAACACAGAUGGACUUCAAGCCUCCCUAGGUUAGGUUAGGUCCUACACUAGGGGGCAAAAUCUGCAAUGAAAACUUAUAUGUCUUGGAUGAGAAGGCCACGGUUGAUUAAUUAGUUGCAUUCCAUAAUGCAUAUUGCACUGCAAUAGCAUUUGAUUUUAAUUUAAUUUAUGAUCAUUUAAACUAGCUAGAAGCCCCACACAUUUACCAUUUGUGAAGCAGUGGCAACUGUUUUCCAUCAACCACUUCACUAACCGACAGAGACAUUCUGUCUACCUUAUGUUUUGGUGCCAUACCCCAAUUCAUUUUGAAGUUACUAUCACAAUGAUUUGUUAUUUAUUUAUUAAAGACAUUGUAAAAUUGUGAAUGCUAUCUUUGACGUUUUCAACCUUUUUAACUAAGAUAGCUUAAGCCAACAUUAAUUGAAUAUGUUGCUAUUUAUCUGAAAGUCUAUUCGUAACCAACUUUCGUGACUUCAAAACUUGUUAACCACCUUCCGUCCAUGAUACAUGCAGAUUUCUUAUGUACAUCAUGGCUUAAUUAAUAACUUCUUAGGGAAAGAAUGUCACAUGCUUUGCAUCUAAAUUGACGUGACACAUUCUUAGUAUAAACACUAUGGUUAAGUGAGUAACAAAAACACUAUGGUUAAUUGGCUUUGCUUAAUUAUUCUACUAAAAGUCAAUUAGCCUAAACAAUGACGGGCAUUUUGUCGUAUUAGUCUUUGUCAUAAAACCAAAAUUAGGAUAAUGAAAGUGUUAUAAAACUCAUCAUACUCUUAUUCUUAAAAGUCUAGUAGAACCAUGAUUAAUUUGAAAUUCCAUCCAUAAAAGAGGGUCCCACUAAAUUCUUACAAUUUGAAUUAAUGAACAAACUAAAAUAAUGUUUUUUUUUAAUACAAAGUUGAUUGGCCAAACGUGGUGUUUUGUGGAUGAGCAUUAACGUGUAGACAAACCCAACCACCUCCAACCUUCUCAAUAAGAUUUUUUAAAGUAGUAAAAUAUUUAAAUGUUAAUUUGAAUUCUGAAGGAGGGAUUUUAUUCUAAGUUAAGUUAGGAAGGACGUUGUACUUAACUUUUCCUAGGCUUCCAUUAUGUUAUUAUUUUUUCCUGAGUAGCAGCAUAUUAUAUUUUAUUUAUUUAUUUCUGUAAUACAAUAUAAUAUAACAAUAAGGAGGGUCGUCUCAGUGGUGUUAAGUGACUGUAAUCAUUUCAUGACUCCUAAACUAUACACUUAUUAGGUGUGCAAUUUUCAUGAAAUAUAUGGGUGAAUAAUGAUAUGUUUGAGUUUCAUGAUAUAGUAAAAAGUAAAAACAGGUCCAUACAUAAUUUGGCUGCUUAACAAUGACAAAGGCAGAAAGUAUCAACAUAUAAAUAUAUUUAAAUUUGUUACAUACAUGGCAUGCUGCGUAAAGUAAUUUAAAUUUAAUUUUAUAAAAUUAAAGUUACUAUAAUUGAUCAAACAAAAUCAUUGUGAUCUACAUCAAUCAAGUUCAUAUUAAAUAAUUAUUCAGUUUCCUUCUCAGAUUUGUCCAUGGUUUAAUAUUUUUCUUCCGAGUUCCAUCACAAGUAGUACUAGUUUGGACAAAAUAACCUGAAAAAAAAACGUGGCAAUCAUUCAUUGCAGGUUAAAAGGUUAAUCAGGAGUAUAAUAAAAAAAAUAAAAUAAGAUAGAUCAAACUUCAAAGUAGCUUAUAGAAAAGGAUAGAUGAAAGUAUUAGCUCACAUAAAAAAUUCCAAUUUGAAAAAAAUAAUAUCCAACGUAAGUUGGGAGGGUGAAGUGCACGCGCCUUGAAGCAAGGUGAAAGAGGACAUUAUACUAGACUAGACACAUGUUCAAAUCCUCUUGACGAAAAUGUGGAAAUUGUUAAGUCGGAUAUCGUGACUAAGAUUUAAACAAAAUAAAUAAUUUGUAACCAAUUGUUGUCUACAAUAAUAAGUAAGUAGCUCGUGUUAUUUGAAUCUUGAGAGAUGUCUAACUACUAUUCGGGUUUGAAUUUGCAAUUCUCCACUAUACUUAACAUGAGUUUUGUCUUCGUAGUGUAGAAGAAGAAAAAACAUAAGAAUUUAUUAUUAUUAUUUUUGUUGAAAUUAAUUAAUAUUAAAAAUCUAUGAAAGAGGAUGAUAUUUGGAACAUAGUGGGGUUCGGAACCGAAGCAUGUGGGAAGGAGUUAGAGAUAACCGAAGCAACAAAGAGAGGAGUAUAGUAUAAAGCAGAUACAAAAAGAAAAAGGAAGAGGUAUUUGUGUGUUGUGUACAGAGCAAAAGCCAAAGGUAACAUAACAUAACAUAACAACAUAGAAUAGAAUCUAUUAUGCUUCUAUGUUUGUAUUGAUAACACAUCACCAACUAUAAGAUCAUAGAGAGAGAAGAGAGACUUGAUCAGCUUUAUGUUCUGUGAUUAUUUCUCUUUAUUUCUUCUUCUUUGGUGAUGACAACGUUGAUCACUUAAACUUUGUCUUUAGUUGAAGGAUUAAGAAGAAUUUAAGAGGUUACAUUGUUGUUUUGUUUUGUUUUGUUAGUUUUUUGUUAUGGCAGCAUUGUCAUUUUCAGUGGCAUCUGUUGUUGAGGAUGUUCUUCAACAGCAUGGCACUCGUCUUAAAGAUCUUGAUUUGGAAUCUAGAAAAUCAGAAGAAGCUGGUAAUUAUUAUCAUUUUCUCUCUGAUAUUGGUUUUGAUGAAUUUUCAUGUGAAAUGAAAAAGGUGUGUGAAUUUUGAAAGAAAAAAUAAUGUUUGAAAUUUCAGCAUUAAGAAGAUAUGAAGCAGCAGGGUGGUUGAGAAAAAUGGUUGGAGUUGUUGCAGCUAAAGAUUUACCAGCAGAGCCUUCUGAGGAAGAGUUUAGGCUUGGUUUGAGAAGUGGGAUCAUUCUUUGUAAUGUUCUUAACAAGGUUCAUCCUGGUUCUGUAUCCAAGGUGACCAUAGUCCUGAUUUGAUUUACUAUCAAUGAUUUUUUCGUUAUUGUUUGUUUACUAAUGUAAAUUCUGUAUUUUCUUUAAGGUUGUGGAGAGUCCUGUUGAUUCUGCACUAAUCCCCGAUGGAGCGCCGUUAUCAGCUUUUCAGUAUUUUGAAAAUGUUAGGAACUUUCUGGUGGCUAUCCAGGAAAUUGGAAUUCCUACCUUUGAGGCAUCUGAUCUAGAACAAGUAUGUAAAGGAUCAAAUUUUUAUUAUUGUUUCAAAAUAUUUGAGUAAAAAAUGGUAUCAUGGUGAAUUGAAUUGUCAAUAAUACAACAUCAGAUAAUUGGGCGUUGUUUACUAUGAAAGUUCAAUAAAAUUUGACUUUGGUUUUCUGCUAUGUAAUUGAUUUAUGUUUUUAGGGAGGAAAAUCAUCAAGGAUUGUGAGUAGUGUAUUAGCACUUAAAUCCUAUAGUGAAUGGAAACAAACUGGGGCUAAUGGUGUAUGGAAAUUUGGUGGAACUAUCAAACCAGCAAUCACUGCAAAAUCUUUUGUGAGAAAAAACUCUGAGCCAUUUACCAAUUCCUUAUCAAGGACCUCUUCCAUCAAUGAAAAAUCUAUGACUUCUUUUACCUCUGAUGUCGAGUCUAAUAAAAUGGUUGGUAAGCUAUAUUUUUUACAUUUUAUAUGUGCUAUGAUUUUGUCUAGGUGAGAAGGCAGAAUAACUGAAUGAAACUUUCUUUUUUUUUAUGCUUGCAGUCUAGUUCUCAUUCUUUAGGUAUGCUUGUUCGUGCAAUACUAUUCGAUAAGAAGCCAGAAGAAGUUCCGAUGGUAAGGACUAAAGGGAUACGUUCUUUUGUGUCUCACAUAGGAAUUAUUUAUACAAAUACAAAGGAAGUACAAGGCCCUAUUUGGAUAAACCUUUUAAUUAAACUUUUAACCAUAAGUGCUUAUGUAUAAGCUAUUUCUAUAACAUUACAAGUGUUUUGGAUCUACUACAUUAUUGUGCAUCUAAAAAUUGGACAGGUAUCUAAAACAGUCAUUAAGGGGUCUCUUCCUUUUUGUUUCUGUGGCCAUUUCAUUUUCUUGAAACGCUGAAAAAUGCGCCCUAAAUGCAGAAUUGGUUAUUGACAGUCCCAUCUAGUAGUACUGCACUAGUCUCUUGCUGCUGCAUUUCAAUCUUGUCACUGAAUAAUCAUGAUACUCAGAGCGCAUUUGAGAUUACUUUCUUAAAGUAAUAUUGUUCUUCUGCAUGGAACAGUUGGUUGAAUCUGUUUUGGCAAAAGUCGUAGAGGAGUUUGAGCAUCGCAUUACAAGCCAAGAUGAACAGGUAUGAUACUUUUCACCUUUAAGUAGUGCCAUUAGCUAUUAAGUGUCAUUUUAUGCCAUUGUUUUACUCAAUUCUUAGGAAAAUAAUUAUUGUAGAAGUUGAUUUUUAUGACAAGUUAUGUUCUUUGUUAUUUAUUAUCGCAUAACACAGACAAAAACAACUUCAAGAAGUGAAAUGUCGCAAAGAGAUGGAGCUGUAGCAAAGUUUUCUAUGGCACGUAAAAAGGUAAUAGUACUUGCUUCACACUCAACUUAUUCAUAUCAUCAUAUGUAAAAUGCUUGAUUCUUAUACUGUGGUUUCCGAUUGAUUAGGUGGAUAACAAGAUUCCUAUGGUAACAAAGAAAGAGGAAUUCAUCUAUAAAAACCAUGUUGCUGACGAGGAGUCGCAGAGGCAACUUCAGAAGCAGCAAAUGCUCUUUGAUCAACGGCAGAGAGAUAUUCAAGUAGGGAGCUGCAAAGAUAUUGUUAAUCAUUUUAAAUUUGCAAUUUUUCAAUUUAUUAGUAAAAUAUUGCCAUCUUUGUGUUUUUUGUAGGAAUUAAAGCAUACAGUUCAAACUACCAAAGCUGGUAUGCAGUUCAUGCAAAUGAAAUUUCACGAGGAGUUCUCUAAUUUAGGUAAUACUUCGCUAAUAUAUGUGAUUAAUAUUGUUCAAUUCUUUUUUAUUUUGUCUUAUAAUUGUUGAACUAGACGCCUCAUCAUAGUUUAGUUUUCACCUCUCUUUAUAGGCAUGCACAUUCACGGCUUAGCUCAUGCUGCUUCUGGAUAUCAUAGAGUUCUCGAAGAAAAUCGCAAACUAUACAAUGAAGUCCAGGAUCUUAAGGGUAAUUAGAUUACUGGUUGGCUGGCUGCUUUAAAUUUCUAUUCGUGAUUUUUUACGGAUUUUAUGCCAAUAUAAUAUUAAGGUGGUUAACUUUGUUUUAUCAGGAAGUAUUAGGGUGUACUGUCGAGUAAGACCUUUCUUACCUGGACAACCAAAUCAUUCGAGUACUGUGGAGAACAUAGAAGAUGGAGUUAUCACAAUUAAUGUUCCCUCAAAGAAUGGGAAAGGGCGUAGAUCCUUCAACUUCAACAAAGUCUUUGGACCAUCUGCAGCCCAAGGUUGGUUUCCUUUUCAGUUAUCUAUUAUCUGCAAGAUUACUAUAUUUUAGUAUAUGAUAGAAUUUUUUCUCUAUUGUGUUCAGGGGAGGUCUUCGCUGAUAUGCAGCCACUUGUUAGGUCUGUGCUCGAUGGUUUUAAUGUUUGCAUAUUUGCUUAUGGCCAAACAGGAUCAGGAAAAACUUUCACCAUGGUAAGAUACAGUUGAGGUUAUCAUCUGAAUCUUUUUGAAAAUUUCCCUGUUAAUUUUGUUGAAAUGCAGAAUGGACUUAAAAAAUAAUCGUAAUAUACAGUUGAAAUUGUGACCUUGAAUAUUUUGAUGAUGUUUUUCGUAUUUUUUGUAUUUGAAAUGUAGACUGGACCAAAAGAGAUCACAGAAAAAAGCCAAGGUGUAAAUUACAGGGCUCUAAGUGAUCUGUUUUAUACAGCGAAUCAAAGAAAGGACACUUUUCGCUAUGAUGUUUCUGUUCAGAUGAUUGAAAUAUAUAAUGAGCAAGUCAGAGAUCUAUUGGUUACUGAUGGAACAAACAAAAGAUAUCCUUUUAGUUGUUACAUUAAAAUUGUAGAAUAUAUAACCAAUUUCUUCUUUGAUUUUUGUUUUUAAAUACCAGUUAUUCUAACAAUGAAAUAAGCCUUUAUUGGUGGUGCUUUCCCUUAACCAUUCAUACAUUAGAAAUUCGUAGUAACUCUCAAAGAGGGCUAAGUGUACCAGAUGCAAGCCUUGUUCAAGUAUCAUCAACAAAUGAUGUUAUUGAACUGAUGAACCUGGGUCAUAAGAACCGCGCAGUCGGAGCAACAGCCCUUAAUGACCGUAGCAGCCGAUCUCACAGGUGUAUAUCCUAUUUAUUGUCUUGUUUUCCACAACUGUUUUUGUGACAUUUUUGUUAUACAUUACUUGACUAUUGACUUCUUUAAUAUAUAUUUGGCAGUUGCUUGACUGUACAUGUUCAAGGAAGAGACUUGACAUCUGGAGCUGUCUUACGCGGAUGCAUGCAUCUGGUUGACUUGGCAGGAAGUGAGAGGGUCGACAAAUCUGAGGCGACGGGUGAUAGAUUGAAAGAGGCACAGCAUAUUAACAAAUCUCUUUCAGCUUUGGGUGAUGUCAUUGCUUCUCUUGCUCAGAAAAACCAACAUGUCCCUUACAGAAAUAGCAAACUCACACAAUUACUCCAAGAUUCACUUGGUAAGUUUUAAGAAGUUGGUUUGCUACAUUUUCGACUGCUGUAUUCUUUUCUAGUCCUCAGUUAUACAAUUCUAUUAAGUUUGUGUUUUUCAUUAUGUUGUUUGGGCAAACUUCAGGAGGACAGGCCAAGACACUAAUGUUUGUUCACAUUAGUCCCGAGGCCAAUGCUGUUGGAGAAACAAUUAGCACAUUAAAAUUUGCAGAAAGAGUUGCUACAGUUGAACUUGGUGCUGCCCGAGUCAACAAGGAUGGGGCAGAUGUCAAAGAGCUCAAAGAACAGGUUUUUUUUCCGAAAUUUGACCUCCUAGUUCUUCAUAAUAGUCUUAUGAAGCCUUACCUCGUCAGUUAAGUUAAAAAAAUUCAAUCCUGUUUCAGAUUGCCAGCCUUAAGGCGGCAUUGGCAAGAAAGGAAGGAAAUUUAGAACAUUCUAUAUCUGGAAGCUCUGGAAAAUGUAGGACAGCAGCUAGUGAACGGUCACCUUAUCAUGCAAGCCAGCGGGCUGCAGAUAUCAUGGAUGAUCCCUUUGGAUGCCGGCAACCAGUGAUUGAUGUUGGCAACUUAGAGGUAUGUAUAUUUUUUGUUGUUGAUAAAAAAAUUAUUUCCCUGAUUUUACAAAAUGAUAUCUUAUGGAAAUUUAUUUGGGUGAUCCCUUUGGAUGCCGGCUAUUCCUUAUUGAUAUCUUAUGGAUAUUUUAAACUGGUUAUGCAGCUUCUGAGCAAUACCAUAUCGAGACAAAGAACUCAAAGCUUUGAUUUUGAUGAGACAUUAACAAAUUCACCACCCUGGCCCCCAGUGAAUAGUCUUGUUCAAAAUUGUGUGGAAGACGAUAAAGAAACCGGUACAGGAGAGUGGGUUGAUAAGGUUAUGGUAAACAAGUUAGAUGUGAACAAGACCGGCAACAUGUUAGGGUGUUGGGAAGCAGAUAAUGGGAACUUAUCUGAGGAAUUUUAUCAGAAAUAUCUUCAAGAUUCUUCCAAAGUAUACUCGGAACGAUCCUAUAAUAUGUUCAUGAGAGGCAACCAGUUUAACAUUGCUGGUUCGGAUGACACUGAUGAUGUCGAUGCUGCAACCAGUGAUUCCUCAGAACAUGACUUGCUUUGGCAAUUUAAUCAUUCGAAAGUUACAAGCGUAGCCAACGGAAAUGAAUCAAAGGGUAGGAGAUUUGUCACAAAGUCAGCUAAAAGCACAGAAUUGAGGUAAUGCAAUAUGCUCCUCUUUAAUAAUGCUCAUAGGGUUCACUUAGAUAUGUUACUAUGAGUUUAAUAUUUAUACACCGUCAGUGUUUACAUAUGUCAACUAAUUUAAUGAGUUUAAAAACACAUAGUUUUUCAUUCUCGAGAAAUAAUGUAUAAACUUAUCAUUGAACACAUGUAAAAUAUUAGCAGUGUUGCCUGUGCAUACAAUUUUGAACAUGUUAUUAUUCAUAUUAAUGAUUUUUUUUGCAAUUUUUGCAGCAAGAAUAGCAUUCAUUCUUCUACUGCUCCUUCACCUUCAAGGAAACAAACAAAUGGUGUCGCACAUCGAACACCAACAAGGCAACCAGCUCCAGUUGACAUGAAACGUAAAACUGGGACUAGAAAGUGAACAUGUCAUUUCCUGUUAAGCAUUUUAAAAGGGUGAUUUUUUUUUUUUUCCUUUUAUUAUUUGUUUGUUCCUUCACAAUUUUUUAGUUCGAGGGGAGAGCUUUCACACAAAAGAAAAAAAAAUCAUAUAUAUUUUUUUUGCUGGGUUUAUGCUUGUAAUAGUUUUGUAAUUUGUUGUAUUUACACAGAUAAUGGAGCAAUAAUGCCCGUUGCUUGUACAUGGCAUGACAUUCUUUUAUUUAACAUUAGAGCUUUCAGGUUUUGUAAAAAUUGCAACAAUUGUCUGAUUUGAUUUGCUACUUCCAGUCAAAUUUAUCUCUUAUCUCCUCUUGGUUUUCCCCCUUUCUCUUAAAUUGCUGUACUUUAUAUUAAAUUUUCUCACUUUUAUUACGUUGAUAUUCUCGUUUGAAUUUUGGCUACGCGGUGAGUGUCAAACAAGCAACAACAAAUGGCAUAUGAAUUAAUUUGUAAGAUAUUCUCAAAAUUAACCUAGUAUUAUGUAUGAUUCUAUAAUGCCUACACAAUGCUAAACGGCGGCUUGACUAUGGUUUUCCCUAGUAGACGGUGUUUGACGAGUAAAUCAGUUGUCCUUCCACGUAAUCUGUAAAGCUUACGCUGCGAAUGCUUCACUUUCCUCAAUAGCUCGUGAAGAGCAGUAGAUAUCAGAGUUCCCUUGGAUAGUUGGAUCUGAAUGCAUCCCCUUGGAACCUCAUGGUUGUUUAUUGUUAAAUUUGUUUCGUGCUCAAUAUCUUACUGACCUGAUGUGCUACUGUAUCCACAGUCCAGACGACAGUGGUAUAGGCAUACGAACCUUGACCAUAUAUCUCGUAUCAUAGCCUAGAAACCCAACCAUAUCAUAUCAUGCUACUUAGUAUGUCAUUCAUAUCAUGUUCAAAUCAGUGUUUGAUCAUAUUCGACAUCACAAGUCUAAACUCUCCUUCAAGUCAACAAGGGAUUGAGCACUUGCUAAACCACCAAACCAAUGUUCAUCACUUUCACCCCAAACCCAUAUGGAUGUGAUUAACUAGUAUUUCCACCCGUGCAACGCACGGGCAAACAAUCAUUUUUCGUGGCUUUAACAUAUUAUUACUCUAAACAUACCACCUAAAUACAAAUUUAUAAGGGGGCGUUUGUUUCCCUUCUGAAAAAAAUAUUCCCAGGAUUCUUACGUUGGAACUAAACAUGUCUUUGUUUGGUAGAUAAGAACAAAAAAAUAAGCCCAGGAAUAAAUAAUUCCUAGGAACAAAAAAACGCCCAUGUUUACCCACGUUCUCCUCAAUUUUAUUCCCAUGAGAUGGGGUUGGGAAAACUUUAUUCCCGGUAACCAUAAACCCAUGAGAUGAAAUGAAAAUCCAUUAUUACCCUUUUAUUUCACCAUCGUAACAAACUGAAAUGAUGAGGAUCCCUUAUAUUGUUGAAUUAAUGUUAGUUAAUGAGUCAAUAAAGUGAUUGAAAACUCUCUAAUACUAAAUGCAAUUGCAUCACCAGUGUAUAAAUAAUAGAGUACGUAUAAGUUCUUGACCCAAAAAAAAAAAAAAUUACGUAUAAGUUGCUUUAUUGUCUACAUGGACUAGACUCCAUUUUCGUAAAGCAUAUGCAUAAAAAUAACAAUGCAGAAAGGAUCGGAUUGACAUCAUUUACAUGUGGUUACUUGCUGAUUGAUUUCCUUGAAUGCUUCUUUGUAGAAUUUUCUUUUUCCAGUUCAUGUUUAAUUAGUUGGUUUUCUAUUUCUUAUUAAACGGGUAAAAUUGGAAUUACAUCAUUCAUUUUCAGGAACAAAUUUUGCAAUACAAACACAUUUCAAUUAUUCUCAGUUUCUUUUUUAAUAAAAUUCCCAGGAACAAAACUAUUUAACCAAACACUUUUUUCAUAUUUUCCUAGGAAUAAAAAUCACACCUUUAUAUUCCAGAAAAAGAUAAUUCCUGGGAAUAAAUUGUGUAUCCAUGAAACAAACGCACCCUAAUGUGUGGUUAGAGAAAACAGAUUAUGUUGUCAUCAUAAAAUUCAAUAUGUCAUUGAUUAAAAUUUACUUUGAUGCUAUUAAAAGCAAUUACAUAUCCUUGAUAAAUAACAAUGAAUACUCGUUUUGCCCUCUAAAUAACAAAAAAAAAAGUAGUCAAUACUUUCAAUAGCAAUUAAUCCAAAAAAAAAAAAAAAUCUUGUGGAAGAUAGAUGCAUCAUCUCUAUUUAGCUCCAAAGUUAUCUACAACAAUAACCAAAGGUUUUUGCACCAUAUAAAUCUAAAUUCAAUAAUUCAAAUUGACAAUUGAGCUUAGAAUAUAGACAAAUUCAUACCUGAUAAGAUAAUUUCUACAACCAAUACCCUUUGUGCAACCAAUACCUUCUUUGUGCAACCAAUACCCUUUUAUUUGAUUGUCAGAUAGCUUCUCGAGAUGAUCCUUGACCAUUACUCAAUCCUUUAUAUUAAGGAGCUUUGAUAACACCCCGACAAUAUUUUCUAAGAAAAUGAAAGAGAAAAACAUGAUCUCAAUGUGAAAAUGAGAGAAAUGAACACCGUAUUUAUAGAUCAACCUCACGCUACAAGAAAUGUCUUUUUUUUUUAGAGAACAAGAAAUGUUGUAUGUGGCGCAAAGGAUCUCACAUCUUUUCGUGCUCCGCAAGUAACUCUCGUGACACGAAAUUAUUCUUUAUUAUAUUUUUUAAUAUUUAUAAAUUUGUUAAAAUGACAUAUAAUUUGAGACGGAGAGAAUGAAUUUUACAUAUUUUUACGAAACUUAUACUAAGGAGAUAAAAAAAACUAUAUUCUAAAUUAUUAUAUAUACAUUUUUUUUUUGGGUGAAAAUUUAUUAUAUUUUUUUUUUGUCAAAUAGCCUAGUGGCUAGAACUCACACAAUUUAAUUGUGGAGAAGUGGAGUGUCCGGGGUUCGAACCCCGGCUCCUGCAUAUAAAAUGCAAUAUACUACCAACUAAGCUAAGCUCACGGGGAUAAUUUAUUAUAUUUUUUAAAAGACCAAAAUAUUAUGUUUUAAUUUUCUUAAUGGUGGCAAUUUAGAUAAACUUGUUUAGUUUUUUUUUUUAAAAAAUUAAUAAUUUGAGAUGGAGAAAGCAUUAAAUAAAGUGCAAGUUGGAAGAAGGCUGCGGCGUCGCGUACCCUGAUUGGUGAUUUACCCAUCAUUUUCACUGUUGCACUAAUCAGACUAUUCCAUUUCUCUCCAUCACCACCAUCCAAACUCUUUCAAUGGCGCUCUACGUUCUAUCACGCCGUUUAUCAACCAAAUCAACCUCACCAACACUCUUCACCUUUCGUUACUUCUCAUCAACCACUACCUUCAGAGAAGAACGCGACACAUUCGGACCCAUUCAAGUUCCCUCCGAUAAACUAUGGGGAGCACAGACUCAACGAUCUUUGCAGAAUUUCGAUAUCGGUGGUCCCCGUGAACGUAUGCCUGAACCUAUCAUUCGCUCUUUCGGCAUCUUGAAAAAAUGCGCUGCUAAGGUUAUUUUUCGUUUUUUAUUUUUUGAAAAUUGUGUUAUUGUAUGGAUUUGAUUGAUGAAAUGUGAUUUAGGUUAAUAUGGAGUAUGGUCUUGAUCCUACUAUUGGAAAAGCGAUUAUGAAGGCCGCGCAAGAAGUUGCUGAUGGAAAGCAUAAUGAUCAUUUUCCUCUUGUUGUUUGGCAAACUGGAAGUGGUACUCAAAGUAACAUGAAUGCUAACGAGGUUUGUAUCAUCCUACGUUUGGAUUUAUUUAUGAAAAUUUGAUUUUGGCUUAUUUGUUGACAAUGACCACUUGUUUUGGAGAGAUUAUGAAAAUAGCUUUUGGUUAUGUUUGGUUGGCUUACUUGAGCUUAUAUGGCAUAAACAGACUAAGUGAUUGGACUCAAGAGCUUAUAUAGAAACAGCCAAUGGCAUGUCCAUAAGUUGUUUUCAGCUUAUUUCCAUAAGCUUUGCAGGAUAGUUUAUGAAAACAACUUAUAGCUUGUAUGAGAAUGGUUGGACUUUAUUUUAUCUUUUGUUGCAGAAUUAGUUUAUACAUAAGAACUUAUAUAAUAACUGUUCUUAGAAAUCGUGGUUGGGUCUAACACAACCCCACAGAACCGGCUGGUAAGUUGAGGAUUGCCUCCACUUAUAAACACAUUGUCAGGCUAUCUCCUAUCCGAUGUGGGACUCUUCACACCCCGUCACGACCAGCACUAUUGGGCUUGGUUCGUGGACAUAAAUGGUGGGUGGUCCGAUAGUGGAAACCUGAUAGCAGGUGGCCCAAUGGACCUUGGAGGAGGCUCUGAUACCAUCUUAGAAAUCGUGUUGGGCCUAACACAACCCCACAAAACCGGUUUGUGAGGUGAGGAUUGCCCCCACUUAUAAACACGUUGUCAAGCCAUCUCCUAUCUGAUGUGUUACUCUUUAACAACUGUCUACUAUAAGCGUUUAAUUAAGUUGCUUAUCCAAACAGGACCCAUGUCAUGUUUAUGUGCUGUCUUUGUUGAUUUUAAUAAGCUCUUCACGAUAGCGUGUGAAAACAGUCUGCAACUUAUAUGAAAACAAUUUAACUAAUUUUUCUUCUUCUUUAGUUAUGAACUUAUAUGAUAAGUGUUUAAUUAAACUAUUUAUCCAGAUGUACUCUCAUGACUAUUGUGUGGCUGUGCCGAACUUGAAGGUCUUGUUAUUGAAAUUAUUAUACCCCAUGUUUAAGGAUCUUAGAUUACUGAACUUAUGACAGUAAAAUAAAUAUUAAUCUGUAUUGUAUAUCAUAGAUGGUUGUGCUAAAGACUUGAGAAUCUAUUUAGUUUUUCCCAGUUUCUGUUUAUUUUGGACAGUGAGGAUAAUUUGACUUACAUAACCUUUCCAUUUGAUCACUGCAGUGGCCUAUUAUGAAAUAAGAAAGUUUGUGGUUGAAUCCUUUUCAGGUUAUUGCAAACAGAGCCUCAGAGAUUCUUGGCCAUAAGCGCGGUGAGAAGUUUGUGCACCCAAAUGACCAUGUCAAUAUGUCACAAUCUUCUAAUGAUACAUUUCCAACUGUAAGUCGUUUGUACAUCUUAUGCAAUUUCAUCUUCAAAAAUUUCUUGUUAAUCACUUUUUGUGGAGUGCAAUUCCUUGUAAACUGUUUCUUAUUUCUUUAAUAUAUGUAUGUUUCUCUCUUUCCAGGUGAUGCACAUUGCCGCUGGAACUGAAAUAAACUCAAGACUAAUCCCCAGCUUGAAGACAUUACAUGCUACACUUGACGCAAAGGUUUGAAUUGUAUAUGUUUAGACAAGUUAUAAUACAUUUAGAAAACUGAAACAAAUUUUUGCUAAUCUUUCAUUGCCUGUGAUCCUUUGUAUGGAAAUUACAAUUUAGCAAUUUUGUGUGGUUGCCUGAGGGUAUAAGACUUCUGACAUGGCAGGGAGGGGCUCUAUGAAUGUCUAAUGUCUAUAUCUGGUUUAAAAACUGCAGUUAGCUGAACUGUUUCUGUACCGCGAUUGACCAAACCAUUUCAAACUAAGAAAACCGGAUUAAAUAUAAGCGGAAUUUAGUGGUCAGGUUUACUUCAGUGUAUUUAAAUUCAGUUUAUUAGUUUAGCACAGUUCUGUUUUUUUUUUUGCCCACCUCUACUGUUAACUCAUGUGCCAUCCUGGUAAGGCGGGAACUUUGAGUUGUUUACAUUAGACCUGACAUGCUUCCUUCAUGCUAUGUACUAUGUAAAACUCUAUCAUAUAAAUGUGAAAAUCAUGCCAGGUUAACAUGUUAUUCACCUAACCUGUUCUUAUGGCUCUGGUCAUUUUACAGAUCCAAUUCUGAUAUUAUCAGUACAUGUCUCCCUUUGUUGAAUCCUUGCAACUUGCAUGAUUAAUUAUUUUCUGGUCUUGUGGUUUUGGCUGGCUCUUUCUUGCAAUGUUCCUUUUGGUCUAUCAUAUAUGCAAUUUUCAUUUGCAAACAAUAUAUUGUGACAGGAAACAUUUUAGUAACCUCGUAACUUUCAUAAAAAUUUUCUUUAUCUUAGUCUCUAAGAUGGAAUUUUAUAAACUAGAGACACUUGUGUUGCAAUUGUUUCUCCUUAGAUCCCAUUUAUCAGUGUGUUGACUAUAUCAGUAUUAACUUACUUUGUGCUUUUAUUUAAAAAAAUUUUUUUUUACCAGUCGAUUGAAUUUAAAGAUAUAGUCAAGAUUGGGCGCACUCAUACUCAAGAUGCUACACCUUUGACUCUCGGACAGGAGUUUAGUGGGUAUACUACACAAGUAAGCUUACUUUCAUUUGGUUUUUGAUGUUGUGUAUUUUGUUUAUCAUUGCCUCAUUAGUAUGCUUUGUAAAAUCAUGACAGUUUGUGGGGAGGGGUUUCUCACAACUUUUUCCUUUAUUGACAGCUGAAGUAUAGUCUUGAUCGUGUGAUUACCAUUUUGCCGCGUAUGUAUCAGGUUUGAAACUCAAGCACAAACUUUAAAUUCUUGUUCUUCACCUGUAUGAUUCUGGAGUUCUGACUUAGUAGUUGUUACUUGAGCAGCUUGCCCAGGGUGGUACCGCUGUAGGGACUGGAUUGAAUACAAAGAAGGGGUAUGCAUGCUUCCUGAUCGCUAAGCACUUGUUUUUCUCAUAUUUGACAGCUACCAAAAUGAAAGUUAUAGCGUCUUUCUUUUCACUCCUUUUGGCAUAUUUUAUUUGAUAUGAGCUUUUUGUCCGGCAAUUGUUUCCUACUAUCAUCAAAUACCUAAAAGUAUGGACUCUACCGGAAUAGUAGUGCAUGUGCAUUUUUCAUGUUUGGCUUUAAAUUAUAAUGGAUGUAAUUGUUGAAAAUUAGACAACAUUUUCUCUGAAGAUCUUAUGGAUAUGAUAUGGGUUCGUUUUAUCAUAAAAAUUGAUGUGCUAGGGCAGCCUGUUUAAGCUGAAAAAAACAUGUGGUUUAACUUAAAGGAAGUAAAUUUGGUUAAACAGUGAUAAUUUGCUGGAUGAUUUCAGGUUUGAUGUUAAGGUGUCACUAGCAGUAGCUACGGAAACAAAUCUGCCCUUUGUAACAGCAGAAAAUAAGUUUGAGGCUUUGGUUUGUCGCUAAAACUUUUUAUUUUCCUUGUCUUUAAUCUGUCUGGUGCUCUUUUUCAUCACGCUAGUUUUUUCCGCAUAUCUUGGUAUCUUGCAUCAUAUGCAGAAAAAUAUUGACUUGCAGUGCGUUCUUAUUCCUCCAUUUUCAGGCUGCCCACGAUUCUUUUGUUGAAACUAGUGGAGCCCUCAACACAAUUUCGGCUUCUUUAAUGAAGAUAGCUAAUGAUAUACGGUUAUUAGGAAGGUAGAAUGCUAGAAAUCUAACUGACAAAUUGCUUUUAUAUGACUGUGCAUGUGUUUGUGUAGAAAACAAUUCUUUAAUGGGUGUUAUGGAUUCUAUCUUAUUGUAGUGGUCCCCGUUGCGGUCUUGGUGAACUCAUUCUUCCUGAAAACGAACCGGGAAGCAGUAUUAUGCCUGUAAGAACCUCAUGCUUAGUUAAUAUACAUUUGUGGCAAGAGUUUUUUUAAUUGUUACUACUAUAGCUUAUUAUUUUGUUAGCCUUAGAAUUGGGAUUUGAUUCAUGCCACAACCUUAUUCUGUUUCAGGGGAAGGUUAACCCUACCCAGUGUGAGGCUUUGACUAUGGUCUGUGCACAGGUAAUUAUCAAUUCACUCUUCAUUUUAUUUAAAAUACUCGUGUUGUGAAUUUUGACUUGCAAAAAGCUUGUACGACUUGUAAUACAGUUACGCAAUUUGAAUUAUAUGGUUGCUAAUAGGGUCCAUGGUAGGGGGUAGGGGUGAUACAUAAAAUAUUGACAGUUUACAGUUACACUAACAAAGAGAAACAGAACAAGAUGGCAAGCUGGUGUGAGGGAGGGAGCUAGUUAUGUUAGUGAGGUGGUUGAAGUUUGUUAGAGGAAAGAGUGUGUCCGUUGGUAGUAUUAGGAGGAAAGUGCUGAGCUGAAGAGAAGGACAAGAUUAAGAGAAGGACAAGAUUUUUUAGCAUAAGGCUGGGUAUGCAAGGGGAAUAGUCUCUCUGUUGGAGCUUUGAGCUCGGGGAAUCACUGUUGAAUUUCCUUGAAUAUUGAAUAAUACAGUUAUUCGUGCUCUUUUUUAUAAAUUUCCUUGCAAUUAUAUCCUUCAUUUUAGUUUUGGUUGGCUAUUUAGUUCCUUAACAGUGACUAAAUUUCUGAAUAGAUGUUAUGAUCAUGUGCUUCAGGUCAUGGGAAACCAUGUUGCAAUCACUGUGGGAGGAUCAAAUGGUCAUUUUGAGCUCAAUGUAUUCAAGCCAGUGAUUGCCAGUAAUCUCCUGCAAGUAUGUUUCAUAUCCUUUAUUUUGUUAUGUAUGUUAUUUCUAACUUAUAAAUCAUGCAAACGAGGAACUUCUACCUAGGUUUUAACUUGGUUCAAAUAUGUUACCUUACCUGAUUCUAGGUUGAUGUAAACUUGAUAAUGUGUAUAUAUAUUAGUAUAAUAUUAUCUAAAAGCAGCUGAAUCAUUUUCUAUUUAGUUGUACUUGAACUUUUUGAACUGGUCUAAGCUUGGUGCAUAAAAAGAAGUUCUGUGCAUUGGAGCAAAGAUUAAAUUAAAUACUAUAUUUCCUUUCUGUCAGUUUGGCAACGUAUAUUUCUCUGAUGAAAGUCAGAUGGACUUGGCUAGAAUGUUGCACAAACUCUUUGCUAUGUUGGCAAAGUAGAAAAUGGGAAGGAAAGAUACUUCAGAUAUGUUGUGUUUAUUUAGGCUGCUUGUAUGUUUUUGUGAUGACAUGGUAAUAGUAUAUAUAUAUAUAUAUGGUAGUGUCCAAAAAAAGAAGAUAAAUCCAGGCCGUGUGAAUGAACGGGCACCUGUUGGCUUUUGUUUUGAUUCCAAAUUUAUGCAAUAUGGAAUACCUUAAAGAUGUACUUAAAUGCUCACGAUAUUUAUUUUGAUUCUGUAGUCGGUGAGACUGCUUGGAGAUUCAUGUGCUUCCUUUGAAAAGAAUUGUGUAAGAGGUAUUCAAGCUAAUAGAGAAAGAAUUUCAAAGCUAUUGCAUGAGGUGAGUUGACUACUUGUUUGCAUUUUGAAACAAAAUGUGUAUCAAAUCUCCAAACCCUUAUCUAAUGCAUGUUGUUGUUUCACUUUUCAUUCACCCUUCCAGUCACUCAUGCUGGUCACAUCCUUGAACCCGGUAAGUUUCCUCCUGUCUUCUCCUGUAGCUCACUAAAUUUCACAUGCGUUUGAAACUGAGUUUAAUUUGUCUGUUCCAGAAAAUUGGUUAUGACAAGGCAGCUGCAGUUGCCAAGAAAGCCCACAAAGAGGGGUCUACACUUAAGGUGAUGAUGUUGCCUAGUUAUUCUUGUUUUUUCUGUUUCUCUUCAGCAAUUUGACCCCUCUCUAUGAAUAUUUAAAAGAAAAUGACAUUAAUUCUUAACAAAUUCUAUGUUAGAAGCAUAUACCUCUAAAAGUACCAUUUCGACUCUUAUAUUGGUUUGAGUAUCAUUGACACUAGUAUAGUUUGUAUGGAUGAAUUUAUUCCUAUUACAUGAUUUCUACAUACUGGUUCAACAAAUUUUCUGAAGUAUUGAAAUUGAAAUGAUGAUCAGGAAGCUGCAUUAAAGCUUGGAGUGCUGACUUCUGAAGAGUUUGACAGUCUUGUGGUUCCCGAGAAAAUGCUUGGCCCAAGUGAUUGAUUAGCAUAUGAUGAUGUAUUGUUUUAAUAAUUAUUGGCUCCUCAUCAGCUACGUUGGAUUAAUAUUUUUGAAGCGUACCCAUUGAAUGAAUUGGGAAAUAGAAAUCCAAAUAACCAAUGAUUUUGACUUUCUUAGCAGACAUUCUUGAGGAAAAAGAUUCUCCAAAUUUGUAACGAGGCAACAAAUAAAGGAAAAGUUUUGCUCACUGUCUUUGAUUUAUAUUUUCGUUUUGAUUUUCUAGUCCCUCGAUUUAAGCAUGAGAAGUAUUAAUAAAUCACUCUUUAAGAUACUUCUCUUUGAUUGUUUAAAUUUCACACGAGUCUCACCAAAUCUUGUUAGUUGUGGUAAGAGUGAAAUCCGAGAGUAAGGAUCCUAACUUGAAAUCCGUGGCAUGAAAAGGGCAUGUAAUUAAGAGUGGAGAACAUAAUUUCUAAUGUUUGAGUCUGAUGUCAACAAAACAUCUAAAAUCGAAAACUGAAAGUUUUUGGAUAAUCUUAUAUUUUUGGCAGAAAACAAUGAUAGUGUAAAUUGGGCUGAUAAAGCUAUUAGAUAUUCCUUUCAGAAAAAGAAAAGGAAAAAAAACUACUCCCUCCGUCCCUUAAUAAAUGACCUAGUUGACAGUAUGCAUUAUUGACUUGAUAUAUUUUGACCAUACUUUUCUACUAAUUCACAAAGAUAAAUAAUAUCAUGUAAGAUGUUGUUGGAUUCGUCUCGAUGAGUAUUUUUAAAAUAUUAAAUUUUUAUAAUUUUUUUUAGUAGAGAAUUGAAGAUAUCAAAGAUAAAACAUAUGCAUUGGUAUGUGUGUCAGAGUCAACUAGGUCAUUUAUUUAGGGACGUAGGGAGUAUUAGAUAUUAUUAUUAAAGAAAGCUAUUAGACAUUGAGACGUUCUGAUUUGGAUUUCUUGUGAAUGUGGAAAGUCGCGAAUUCUCAAAACGAAUGCACAUGGUAUUUUUAUUUGAGCAAUAUAAUGAUAGAACUUUCUUUAUUUCUUUAACAUGAUGAUUAAUUUGGCAUGGAGUAUCAUGUAAAUAAUUAGAUGACGGAUUGAAAAAGGGUAAUUUAUGUCGUGCGGGAAAAUUAAAUUUCUUUUCUUCAAGUGAAGCAAUUUUGUCUGAUUUUACUUAGUUACAUUUUCGGUUGAAUCCCUGAUUAACAAGACCUUCCCCACACCAACAAAACAAAAUGAAAGAAAAAGGCACGAUGUGAUUUCAACAUGGUAAAUUACAUGUUGAUUCGAGAAAACCACCUGAAGGGCACUGUUAAGUAUGAACAAAACAAAUGUUCUUCCAAAUUUUAAAAAAUUUCUUUUGCGAGCGUGUAGUAUAGCAUUCUGACCAUAGUAACCAAGUCUUUACUGCGUGCAUUGUUUGCAUAUGGCUGCUUUGAGAGGAGUAUGUGAUGCUGCAGUAAGGUUCAACUUUGGAACUUUAUUGAACAAUAGCGUAUUCCUUUCGCAACCGGUUUGAACUUUAUUCAAUACAUGAUCAACAAGAAUGAAAAGUAGAAAUCAAAUGGUUUGAAAUGCAGCUAAUUUUUGCUUUGACAAUGUCAUACUUGAAUGAAAAGAUUGUUUAGUGUUUGUCAUGAGAUUAAUAUUUCUGGGUAUAAAGAUUCGUAUACAUGAAAUAACUUUGACAUUAUCAAGAAAAAUGACGAUUCCCAUGAUAAGGAAAUGAACUAGUAUGUAUUUUCAAGCUUCAUUAAUACACUUGGUGAUACAAAAUAUUGACAAACGUUUUCCACAAGUGCACAAACAGAAUUUCUAAAAUUAUCUUAUUGACGAAAGCAGAGUUUCUAUAAACAUUUUUGAGAAGUUAUUCAUAAAAACAAUUAACAACAUAAAACAAAAGCGUCUCUAAGACGUAGUUUCAUAGAUUCAAUCAACACUUCGUAUAGUGGAGACUGAAUUGAUUAAUAGAGAGAAACAUGGCUUCAUCAAUUAUAUCCUGUAAAUAUGCAAGAGCAAAAGUGUGGGCACACGCAUGUGUUUGGUUUAGUGGUGGCAACUGCAGCAGAGUUUAGGCCUUAUGCACAGCCAUGAUUUUGGUGUUUUUCAAACACUCAAGUAAAGAUCUGGAUAUGUAGUAUGUCUAGCUUAAUUUAGAAGCAAGGAAUUUCAUAAUUGGAAUAUAAAAUAACAAUAGUAUUUCUCAACAAAGUGCAUUUCCAUACCAAAAUGGCAGCAAAAUAUAAACCCAAUACAAAAUUGUACUUGUACAGCUGAAAUUUAGGAUAAAACUUAUGCUAUAAAAUUAAAAUACUCGACCUCUGGAUACUUGAUUUACUUCUUGGAUUUCUUUGAUGGUCUGCACCAAAAACACACAUUUAGACCACAAAAUAACACAAAAAACUAAACCAAGUAACAAAAGUGUUUAGAUGCUUACUGGGCCUGGGUUGCUGUUGCAGCUGAUGCGGCUGGUGCUGCAGCUGCAGGAACCUUCUCUCCUGGACCCUACACAUUUUAAAAGGCAGGGUGAUAUGGUCAAUUUUAGAGUGACAAAUUUAGUCUAAAUGCAGUGAUAAAAUAAUACCAAUUCACUUCAUAUAUUAUCAAGACAUUAUGGAACUCACUUGAGCAAAGCGCUCUUCUCUCCGGGCAUGCUUCCUUUCCCUGCUAGCCUUAUUCUUCGCCCUCUUGGCCUCAAACUGAUCAGAUAAUGUCUUCUCCCUAGCCUUCUCAGCCUUGGAUUUGUGAAUACUCUCCAUAAGGACUCUCUUGUUCUUGAAGACAUUUCCCUUCACCUUCAUGUACAUAUCAUGAUACAUAUGUUUGUCAAUCUUCUUUGCCUCUCGGUACUUGCGAAGCAAACGCCUGAGGACACGCAUUCUCCUCAUCCAAAGGAUUUUGGUGGGGAGCCUAGCCUCUCUUGUACCCUUUCUCUUUCCUGGUCAUCAUCAAUAAGCGGAAAUUAUAAUCAGAGAAUAACAAUGAUGCCUAUCCUGCUAAUGCGGGUACUAUAGAAAUACUUGUGUGAUGGUACAAACAGUAAUAGAUCACAUGCAUAUGCAGAAUGUAUAUAACUUGCUUAACAUUCUGCACAACUGAUUAACUAAUCUUGCAAACUAUAUAGUGCUAGUAACCAUAGUAAUACUCGUGUGAUGGUGCAAACUGCAAACAGCAAUAUGUUACAUACAUUUUCAGAAUGCAUAUAACUUUCAUAUCCUAGAAUACUCUGCACAACUAAUUAACUAAUUCUAUUCUAUAAUGUUUAAAUGACGAUGACUUCACAAGCAGACAAGCACUACCUAACAAACUAACAGAGAUUUGUCAACAUCUUUAUCCUUCAAUUCAUUAAAACUAUCAAGGUUUAAAAUAGUUAACUACCAUAUCCAGAAUGACGUCCCUUCCUCUUGGCCUCCUUCAUGCGCCUAGCACGGGAGCGGGAGUGAAUCUUAGUUGGCUUCCUGAUAAUGAAGCCAUCCUUAACCAACUUCCUGAUGUUUUGGCCUGCAAAGAGAAACCAGUCAGACCAUUUAAAUAAAUUGAACAAAUAACAUACAGUAUCACAGACUCCCACCACAUAUGAUAAAAAAAAUAUACAUCAGAUGCAUACCAAUCAGCAAUUAACACAAUAAAAAUCUCAACAAUGAAAAUUUCAUUACAAAAAUGAGUUAAGGGAAUAGUUUUCACCGACAACAAAAAUGAGAACCCACAAGUAAAUUGGGCAUUUUGAUCUCCACUAAGUUCAUAUUAGGAUACAAUAAAAAACAACAAUGAAAUCCAAUAAAAGCCCCAAUUUUUUCAUUUAAAAAGCUGAAUUGAGCAUCCCAAAUCAUAAAGGCAGAUAAAUAAGAGAAUGAAACACAAACUAUAUAUCUAUAUCCUUAAAAACUAGCUUCUGAAAUUAAAUAUUUUAUAAGUUAAAAUCCAAAGCAACUAAAUCCAUAUCCACUCUUAAAUCUUAAAGAAGUCACAAUAUUUCAAUGUUUUUUUGAGGGAUUUUUUCUACCCUAGUUUUUCUUUUUCCUACAAGUUCUGCUAUUGAACACCGCAACACAAGACACCUUACAUUUCCGAACAAAAAAACAUAGUACAAAAAUAAAAUAAAAAUAAAACAUUUCAUGACCAACACAAACAGUUCAAAACAUGUUCAAAACUGAUUAACAUAAAUCAAAUCAAAACCCAGAAACAUUAGAGAGAGAGAGAGAGAGAGAGUUACGUGAAUUAGCCAUGGAGAUUUCAUUGCACUCAUUAGGGUCAAGCCAGACCUUGCCACGACCACACUUGAGUACGCUGGCGGCGAGCCGCUUCUGAAGUUUGAGCGACACCAUCUCUCUCUCUCCCUCAAACUCUCUCUGGUUUGAUAACCUGGCGGUGGAAGGAGGCUAUAUAUAUCUCCUAUCUCUCACUAACCCUAGGUUUUGCACCAGUUUUUUUUUUUUUUUUUGUGCGUAUUGGGCAAGUAAAUUUGACUUUCUCUGAGCCUGUUUUGGGUCAAAUUACUCAUGGGCCUUUUUUGUCAACAAACUCUUGGGCCUCAUUCUGUCAGAUUUGUUUCGUUUAUUUUGAAAAUUACUCUUCUCACUUCCAAAAUGUCUUUCGGAAACAUAAGAGAAACAGACUGAACCAUAAGAGAAACGUUAAUUACACAAAUAUCACUUAGUCCAAUACUCAUAGAAAUUCGAUGAACGUUUGUAGAAUGACAUCAUUUUUCUCUUUGUUAAGUUUCUUUUUUGCUUUUUAUUUAACAUAGAUUCUACCACCGUAAAAUUCCUCCUAUUUUGGUCCUUCAACAACUCGCUCAUACUGCCGUGGUAGAGAAUCUUGUCAUGUUGAUCUUUUUAUAACGUGAGAAUUUUUUUUGUUAACUUUAAUUAAAGAGCUGAAGUAGAUAAAAAAUAUGGUUUUUUCAUGUAGUCAUAAAGUCAAGAAAAAUGAUCUAGAAGUUAAAUUUCUUUUUUAUAAUUUUUUGCAAACAUAAUUAGAACUUUCCAACCAUGGACGUGGUAAUUAUGAAUUUUUAAAGUGUCAAAAAUCAAAACAAAAAAAUAAUGAGCUGAUUUUUUUUUUAAGAGAAUUCUUCAAAAACACAUAAAAAUGAUUUGUAAAGUUUUAUAACAUUACUAAUACGCCUCAAUUUAUUUUAAUUUUUCAACCAACAUGUGAAAAAUCACAAUUUUGUUUCGAGUUAGCAUAAAAUCACGGGUCAAAUCUGGUUCCCCUAUUUUGUAGGCAUGUUCACUAGAACCCCCACCACAAAAUUUUGAACUUUAUUUUAAACAUACCUGCAAAAUUGGGGAACUAAAUAUCCGGUGAGUAUAUACUUACUUUUAACAAAAUUGUAAAAAAUCAAAAUAUAUUGAGGUGUCUCGAAAAGGCUAUAAAACUAUGUAGAACAUUUCUACGUACUUUUAUUGUGGGACACUUUUUUUUAAUGUCUUAAAUUUUUUUUGCAACAAAAUCAUUAAAAAAUUCAAUCUCUAAUCAUUUUUCUUAACUCUAUGUCUAUUACGAAAAAAGUUUCACUUUUUUAUUUCAUUCUUAAUUAAUGUUAGUAAAAAAAAUAAAGCAAAACAACUCUGAUGUCAUAAAAAAAGAAGUAAGAUUUCCUAACACAUUAGUGUGUGUUAUUUUUUACAAGAAUCAUUUUCAUGAAGAAUGUUUGAACCACACAUUUUCAACACACUUUAUUUAAUUGAUUAAAAUUCAUUUGAUCCCACCAAAUAACGUGGAUCUCAUGUAUAUUUGAACAAAUAAAAAAAGUGUAUUGAAAAAUACAUGUUGAAAUGUUUGUUGUCCGUCUUUCUCUUAUUAUUUUCAUACUUUGUGCAUAUUACGGACACUAUUUCAAGUUUCAACAAUUAGCUUAAAAAUGUGUUCUAAUGUGUAUUGGUUGGGGUAAAUUACCCACAAUUAUUCCAUAGAUAUCCUGAUUGUGAAGCAUUAUUAUUUGCUAACCAACAACGCAAGCUAAGACUUCUAGAGUUUAGUCAGCAAAGCAAAAGUAAAAGGCAAUGCAAACUAUAUUUUUGGCGGCGUAGGGGUAAAUCCAGGAAGGUUCAUGUCACUGCUGUCACGCAUUCUCCUUUAAACCCUCCCAUUUUUUUACAACUACAAAUACCCUCCAAAUCUAUCCACAUCUUUGUGUCAUUCUCACUCAAACACAAGAAAAACAAAAUUCACAACACAACAAUUUUUCUUCCUCAAUAAUAACCCACUCAACCUCUCAUAUCAAUCAUAAUACUCUAUUCUUUCAUUGCCUUUUCAUAACACCAUUUCACCCUCCAAAACCUCUCCUUGGCUAGCUGAUACAUCAAGCAAUACUCAUCAUCAUCAAAGAAUGUGUGGUGGUGCUAUCAUCGCUGACUUCAUUCCUCGCCGUGACGGCCGCCGUCUCACCGCCUCGGAGCUCUGGCCUAACUCAUUUGGCCAACAGAUUGACUCCUCAAACUUCGGUUUUUCUCAUACUGCUGCUGAUCAACAACCACCCAGCACUCUCAAAAGAUCACAGCCUCCCAAAGGUGAGUUACUAUUUUCUUUUUCUAGUCCUAAUACCCUUUUCAUUUUUCUUAACUCAUAUCUAGUUCAAGCACCGACUAGUAAGUUGUUUUGUAUUUGUUAGAGAUUUUUCUUAUUUGGGUUUUUCAUUUGAACAGUUAAUGAACGAGUUGAGAAGCCACUGAAAAAACAGAGGAAGAAUCUCUAUAGAGGAAUUCGACAGCGUCCAUGGGGAAAAUGGGCUGCAGAGAUUCGUGAUCCAAGAAAAGGAGUUCGUGUUUGGCUUGGUACAUUCAACACUGCUGAAGAAGCUGCUAGAGCUUACGACAAAGAAGCUCGAAAAAUCCGUGGCAAAAAAGCUAAGGUUAAUUUUCCUAACGAAGAUGAUGAAUAUACCAUUCAUGCUACUCGUCGCUACAAUAAUAAUCCUCCACCGAUUCGACCACAGAAGCUUCCUCUAUAUCAUCAACAACACUAUCAGAAGAAUCUGAACUUGGAAUUUGGUUAUGAUCUGAACCAAACUGACACAAUUCAUGCUAUCAAUACUGGUUCUGGUGGUGAUGAGAAUUCUUUAUUUGGGUCUGGUUCAGUUUCAGAGGUUGGUUUUUCUGUGAUGGAGUUCAAUGGUGGUUCCAAUCAGAAUGAAUUCGGUUAUUUUGGUGGUGUUGUGAAUGAACAUGAAAAAGAGAAAGAGAAAGUGGUAGAACAAGAAACACAUGUUGUUGAACAAGCUGAAGCUGAAUUAGCAAAAAAUGAGGUACAAGAAUUGUCUGAUGAAUUGUUGGCAUACGAGGAUUACAUGAAGUUUUAUCAGAUUUACUAUGAUGGACAAUCAGUGAUGCCACCUAAUAAUGUUCAGGAACAUGUGGUUGGAGAUUUAUGGAGCUUUGAUUGAUGGUAACAAUAACUGUUUUUCAUGCUUCGGUUUCUUCUGUGAAGCUUCUGUGAAGACAGAAUUUUUCCCAUUCUUAUUAUUCGGUUAUCUCUAUUUUGCAUUUAGUAUGGAUGGAAUUGUAAAUUUGGCUACUUUGAAUUUCGAUUCUCUAGUUUAUCUAUUUUUGAGUUAAUUAGUAGGGUUAUGUCAAGUUUUGUUCAAUUGUAAUUUUUUGGUGUUUAACCAAAUGAAAUUAACAAUGUUUCAAUUCCAAUACAAAUUUUGUUGAUUAUGUUUUCGUUUCAACAUCGGAUUAUGGCUGCGUUUAACAUCGGAUUUUAACUCAUCAACUGAGAAUACUUUUUUAAUUUUAAUUUUUUUUUUUUUUUUUUAUCAAUUACUUUUAAACUAAAUUAAAGUGUAAUCAAACUGCGUUCUAUCUUCCUUUUUUUUGAAGACAGAGACUGUGUUGGUGUUUUUUAUUUUAUGCGUGUUGGUAUUUCAAUUUUCAACCAUUUAGCAUAAGGAACUAGCCUCUCACAUUUAGCAACUGAUACUCCUCAAAUAGGAGUUUAGCAUAAGAGAUUAGUCUCACAUAUUAGGUACCUGCAGACAAUAUUUACGUAGGAUUGCCUUCAAACUUCAAAAUAUGAACUAUAAAACCAAAUUAUGCUUAGCAAGAACCCCUUGUUGCAUAUCUUGAAAAAUGAAUGAAAUUUGUGUUUUUUAUUAUUUAUCAAGUCAAAUUCUUUUUUCUUUUUUUCAUAAAUCGUUUUGCAUAGUGUUCUUGUCAAAUAAGUUUUUCUUAAGUUUGUCUAAAACAAAUUCUUAGGUGUGAUGAAACAGGGUAAGGGCAUAAUUUUUUUCUUAUUAAAUUGUCUAAUAAUUAAAAAUUCACUUGUUAAGUGAAAAAUUUUAGAGUUCAAAGCCAACCCCGAUAUAGUACAAUGUUUCUGAUAAUUGAGUUAUGAAUUCUAUUAUUUUUUCAUAUUACACUUGCGCGACAUGAUAUCAUAUGACAUUAGACAAUUUAAGUGUAACACGUUACAAUACCAUUAUUUUAAACAUAAAAAUAUGUGAAAUAAGGAGAAAGAAAAUAAUUAAAUUGAUUUAUGUGUUAAUGUUAAUGACAUUCUCGUGAAGCAUUUUCUUCUAUGUAUUAGUUAAAAAGAAGGUUUUUCCCUGAAAAUAAUAAUUAUUAUCAUUGGCUAUAAAGUGGUUAACGUAACUGCCAUUGAAUGGGGAAAUGAUAGAUAGGGAUGUGAUGCAAAAUGGGAAUAUGGUUAAAAAAGAAGUAAUAAUAAUUGAAAAAGGCAAAGGAAGAAUCCAAUCCAGUGGCGCACGCAGCUGGUUUUGUGUUAUAAAGUUGGCGGAUUUGAAGUUUCUCUUUCUUAGGAAAACAACCGACGCCGUACUCAGUGGGCGCCUACGGGUUCAAAAUACUUGUUCUAACUCACGGACCAGAUGAUAGUUAGGCACUGUCUCAUCCUACCACCAACUCACGGACCACGUGACACAUUCAACAAAAUUAAUUAAUUAAAUAAGUUCAUGCAAAAACAAAUUUGAGAAAAUAACCUUUCAAAAACAUAAAUUUAGAAUAUUUAGGACACAUAUUAAGGGUUACAUUAAGAGUAAAUAUUUAUCAAACCAAAUUAAUCUUUAAUCUUUUUUAAAAUAAUUGACACAUUUUCAAUGUCUAAUUUCUAUUUUUAGCACUAUAACAUAUGUUUAAAGAUAGAUGUUAAUAUUUCUCUUUUUUAUUAAUUAAAGGGAUAUUAGUGACGCUUGUAAUUGUCUCCUAAUGAAUUUGAAUUUAAAGGGUCAUUAUUUUAAACAAAGAACUACAUUUUUUAUUUAUUCAAUUAAUGAUGUAUAUGAUCUUUAUUAUAGACCACAUACUUCAUUUAAUAAAUGAAUCUAAAAUAUUGAUUUUUGUUUAUACUCCCUCCGUCCCUAAUUAUAAGACCCUUUUGCUAAAAUCACGGGAAUUAAGAAAGCGGAUAUUUGUAUUAAAGUUGUUUGUAAUCACUAUUGUUUUUACAAUUUUAUCCUUAAGAGAGAGAGUUAGUUUAUGUUUUUCAUAUGUUACUUAUUGCUGAUUGAAGAAAAAGAUGUAUAAUAAAUAGGGGCGUGUAUGUAAAGAAAUAAUUAAUGUAGUUGGAAAUAACAAAGGGAUCUUAUAAAAAGGGACAAAAAAAAUUCUCAAAAGGGUCUUAUAAUUAGGGACGGAGGGAGUAAUAGUGAUCAGAUGGUGUACAUAUUUUGAACAGAUAUAAUGUAGUUAAUGUCUUAAAUUCGUGUCUAAAUUUUACUAAAUUGUUGUUCUUUAUUUAUAUGUGUAUUUAAUUUGGUUUUCUAUAUUCUAAUAUAAAUUAAUAGUAUUAAUUAGAGAUACAUAUAUACGGAAAAAAUAAUAAAUGCAAAUAAUAAUUUAUAUACGGAUUUAUAUUUAAAGACUGUACUUUUUUUUAAAUGAGAUUUAUAAUUAAGGACGGAGUGGAUACGACUUACCAUACUUGGCCAUUCUUCCUAAACCAACAAAAAUAAUAAAAUCUUUCUAGAGUUUAGAAUAAGUAAAAUAAGUAGUGUGAUCCUUUAAUUAUUUUUUUUUUAGGAAAUGUGAUUCUUUAAAUUAUUGUUUUGUAAUAAAUUAUUCCUUUAAUUUUAUUAUGCAACAAAUUAACUUUUUCGUAUAAUCACUUUUUAAGUGACUUAGAUGGAAAGAGGGUCAAGGUGACAAUAUUUUAUGAAUAAACAUCAAUUUGCAGAAGGAAAAAAACUAUCUUGUUACAAAAACACUUGUUUUUUUAAUACCGUUUUUAAAAUAGUGUCUAAAAUGAGAAAAUUACACUUUUAGUCAUUUAAUUUAAUUUCAGAUAACAAUUUAAUCCUUUAUAUUUUAGGUCCAUUUUCAUAUAAAUUUUUAAGCCUCAAAUCUAAUAUUCUUAUGCAAACAUAGAUGAAAACCAUAGAUUAGAAUAUUGAAAAGCCAUAAAAAAAUGAACCCAGUAAUUUGAAGUAUGAAAAUUCAUAUGUAAAUGGUCCAAAAAGACAAAAUUAAAAUAAAAAAGAUAAAAGAUCAAAUCGUUAAUUAAAAUUAAAUUAAAUUAUUAAAAAUUCAAUUUUACCAAUCUAGAAUUGAAGGAAAUUAAUGUAGAGACUAACGAACUUAAUAAGUCAUAAUUUUAUAAAAACUCAACAUAUUUAAUUAUUAAAAAAACAACUUGUUAUUUUUGUAAUAACUUAGUCAAUAUUGACAUGUCACGAUUAAUUGGUGUGUCACCAACAGUAAAACUCAAGAAUAAUAUAUAUAUUUUUGUUGAGAAAUCUCAAGAAAAAUAUGUAAUUUGUUAAUUAGGCAAGUUGAUGGGUUGACCCAAAAAAAUUAAUAUAUAAAUUAGAAAGAAAAAAACUAAUAAUAUUAAGGGUUAAAUAAUGUUUAUACUCGGUUAUUUGAACGAUUUUUUGUUUAUCCUCUUGUAAAAUCUUAUUUUUAGAUUCUCCCUUAUCAUAUAAAAAUUCUUUAAUUUUAGCCCCUCGUGGCAUCUAACUAGGCAAAAACGCAAAACUAACACGUUUGACUAUGUAAUUGAUUUUAGUUUUUAAAAUUUAUUUUUGGUUAAGUUUUUUUUAAUAAUUAAAUAAAAUGUCAUUAUUUUUAAAAGAAAUUUAAAGAUUAAAAAUAAUCUUCAUCUUCAUAACUUAAAAGUAUCUUCAUCAUCAAAUUCAACCAACCCCAAAACAAAUCAUCAUCUACACUCUCAUCAUCCACUCUCUCUAUAAAAAAAAAUAAAAAAAAUCAACAAACAAGGCUUCAACCAACAUCAUGUAUUCAUAUUAGAGUAAAUAGUCGAUUAUCCUCCUGAAAUUGUAAGUUUCAUCAAUUACCCCUCAGAAAUUAACAAAACUUCAAUUACCCCCCUGAAAUUGCACAACGUUGACCAAUUUACCCCCUCCGUCAAAUUUUUAUGUUAGUUAACAUGACGUUUUGCAAAUACCCCCCUGAAGUUUUGUACUUAUGUGCAAAAUGCCUCAUGAACUUGAAAAUUUAUAUAUUUUUUUUCUUAUCCUUAAAAGUGACUGCAUUAUCACUGAAUUGUGGAGCAUAUUAGCUAAGUUUUGACGGUAUACAACCAUAUAUGUUCCUUUAAACGAUCAAACAUUAACCAUGUAUUAGAGUCCAACGAUAUGAAAGUCAGCAUAGUAAAGUACAACCACACUUGUCAGAUGGAAAACUAAUACAUGUCAUACAUAAUGAAGCACAUAAAUAAUACAUGAUUGACAUAAUUAAGAAUUACCAAGAUGUCAUAGUAUAUGGCUUUGCUAUUACUAAUUUUAACCACACCAAAAAUUUCCACUUCCUUUAUAAUGAAAUUUCAACACACUUCUCUCACUUUCAAGAAAAAAUAUAUAAACUUCUUACUUCUCUCACUUGAUUCUGAUUUCAACAAGUUAUACCUCAAAAAACAUAAAAAGAAAGACCGUUUGGAGAAAUAAAUUCUUCAACUAAUUCCAAAUGGAGACUUCAUGCUAGUACCUUAGGGAGAAGACAUUGUGAAGAACGUCAAAACAGAAACUAGCAUGCCUGAUUUGGUGAAGGUACAACUAGUCACAUGUUUGCAUGGACUACAAUAAACUUCACUAGAAUCGACCUUUCUGCAAAAGUUGUAGGAAGAAAUUUCUCAAGAAAGUGGAGGCUUUAGAAAAAAAACUGUAAAAUCCCUUGGUUUUAAUUUUUAAUAGGACAAGGAAUCAAAGAAAAUUCGGACAAGCGCAAAGCAUUCAUGGAAAGCCCAACACCAUACUCUAAUAAAUCAAUUUAAACCCUUAAUUAAUGUGAUGUUGACAACGCUCUAGCGAUUUGUCUCAUAUUAGCUCAACACGCUUUGCCCUUAUUUAAGUUACUAAUUAAGAAAAUAGGUUAAAUUAGAAUGGAAAGAUGAAUGUGAAGUUGCACUCACUCAUCUCAAGAAAGCAUUGUUCCAACCACCAACAUUUUCUCAACCAGAGGAAGGGGAGAUUUCAUAUUUGUAUUUGUCUGUAGCUUUUGAAUUCGUAAGUGUUGCUCUCAUAAGAGAAACAAAAGAGGACAAAAAAACUAGUGUGUACUUCAUGAGAAAAGCAUUACAAAAGCUUGAAAUACAUUACCAGAUUAUUGAAAAGGUCGCCUCGUAUUGGAGGCUAGGAGACUUCGAAGUAACUUCCUAGCACAUACAAUCAUAGUGUGAAUAGACCAACUGAUAAGGAAAAUCCUUUUUCGAUGAGAUGUGAUAAGCCAAAUGAUGAAAUAGUUCUUGAAGUUAUUUGAGCUUUACAUCAAGUUUGAAGCUAAGAAGGCACUAACAAUGCAUAUGCUUAUAGAUUUCGUAGCACAAAUGAACACUUCUCCCGAAGAGAAGACAUACAAAUUGAUCAUCUUAAUCGAUGGAUCAUACAACUCCAAAGGAAAUGGCGUAGGGAUAAUUAUAGAAAAUGAGUAAAGACUCAUCGUUGAAGUAUUCUUAGGGUUGUUCUUUACCACGACCAAUAAUCAAGCUGAUUAACACGAAGCUUUCAUGGACAAUCUAAAUGAAGACAAGAAAGCAAAGGAAAUAAAAAUAUGCAUAAAUUCCCAAGUCUAAAGAGAGUUUCAGGUAAGAGAUAAACACCUAUUAGAAUACCUUGAUGUAGUUAAUGAAAAAAUGAAAAAAUUUGACUACCUCUAAGUGCAACAUGUUCCCCACGAACACAAUACACGAGCAAACAUCCUUUCAAAGUUGCAAGUACCAAGACGAAAAGAGGAAUCAUAUUUGUGAAAGCAAAGUUAAUUAAAAAUUCAAAUGAGAAAAAAAAAAUAUUCACAUUAAAAAUGUCCUCUUUUACAACAAUUUGAAACUGGAAACAUAAAAAAACAUAAGACAGAAAAAAUAUAAGCCCUCGAAAAAGAAUAAAACUCAUAUUGAACACAUAAAUGAGAAAGAAUGAGAGAAGUAAAAAAUGUCAAUAAAAAUGGUAAGAACUAAGAAAAUAAAUAAAUAAAAAACAAAAGGAAGUAGAAAAGAGAAGAUAUAAGUAAACCUUUAUAAUAUCAGAGUUAGAUGGUCAAACAUGCCAAUUGCCAACUAUGUGGAAAAGACAUAUGGUAGGGGGUUAAUGGUAAGGUGGCUCGCAAUGAGUUUGUUUUUUGAGUUAUUAAUGUGUAGGAAGUCUUAUGAGUGAGUGUUGUUAUUGUUGAAAAAAUGUUUAACAUGAUUCUUGUGUUGUCCUGUUCAUCUCUACAAAGGUGUUUGAUUUGAUCAUGCUUUUCCUUUUUGAUUGGUUUCUAUAUUUGUUCACUAUUUGAGUAGCUUGUAUGUUAUGUUGUGUGGUAAUUGUGAAUCUAUAUGAUUUUUUUUUUUUGCUUAGGAUAUGGUAGGAUUGAUUUUAUUCUCAGGGAAUAUAACAAUAUAAGAGGAUGUCCUUCCUUUAAUUCCUCUGUUCAGAAAGUAGCAACACUUAAAUCAAUAGGAUUUUGUUGGCUGCUUCAUCUUUAGUAAAGGAAAAUUCUGCUCCAUCUUAUAUCUCAUUAUUUCAGUGAUUGUUGGAUUUGGUACAAUUAUUUAUACCUCAAAUUUACUUUUAUUUUGUUUUUGUUCUCACAUUCCUUCUAAAUACUUGUAGCUAGAAGACUUUUGUUGUUUCCAAGGAAGCUAUGAAAAAUGGUGUUGCAAGCCAAGCAGAUUUUUGUUGCAUUAGCUUUGCUUAGAUCCCUCAUGGCUAAUGUUUUUUUUUAUUUUAUUUUAAUUUUUGGUGGAAAAAGUGAUUGUUACUAGGUUUAGUUAGGAUAUCUUAUUUCAUUGAUCUAAAUUUUGAUCAAAAUGUAGUAUUUUGAUUUGCUUGGAUCAUGUAAAAACACUUAUGUAAUCUCUAGAUUCAAUGUGGUGGAUUGAGUAAAAAAACUCCUAUAGAUAAUCCACUUUUUUCUAAUCUAUUUCAAUUAGUAACAUUUUUUUGAUAGAUUCACAAUUUUUUAGUCUGGACAAUUUUGCGACACUUUUUUACAACUUCUCAAAAAUUAGGGUUAAAUAUGUUUUUGGUCCCUAUAAAUAUACCAACUUUUCGUUUAGUCCUUCUAAAAUUUUCCUUCAACUUUUAGUCCCUAUAAAAUUUUCAAUCACUACUUUUGGUCCCUAAUUUUAAGUUAAUUUUUGUAUUUUUUUAAUGAAAAUGUGUAGAAUAUUAUAAAAUAAAUUGCCAAAAAAAUAAUUUUUUUAAUAAAACACAAAUUAAAUAUGAAUUUUUAACUGUCAAAAAUAUAAAAAUCCAUAUUAAAUUCAUGUUUUGUCAAAAAAAAUCUAAUUUUUUUUGGGUGAGAUUCUUAUAAUAUUUUGAAUUUUUAUGCAAAAUUUUAUUCAAAAAUAUGAAUUAUAUAUAUGAGUUUACUUUAAAGGAUGAACCAAAAGUGAAGAUGAAAUUUUUUUGAGGGACUAAAAGUUGAAGAAAUUUUUUAAAGGGACUAAAACGAAAAGUUGACAUAUUUAUAAGGAUAAAAAACAUAUUUAACCCCAAAAAUUAUAAAUGUAACAUUUUUUUUAGUGUUACCGGUGAUACAAAAAGUGUUACAAUAAUGUAACAUUUUGCGACACUUUUUAAAUGUUACUGAUAAUACUAUAAAAAUGUAACUGAAGCUCUUUAGUAGCAUGUGCUUUGCCUAACAAUUGUAUAAAUGUGACUAAUUUUAAUUAGUAACAUUUUUCUUGAUUUAGUAACAUUUUUCAUGGGUUACUAGAUGUCAAUUAUGUUGCAGUGCAUGUUCCAUAUUCUGAGCUAACAAUGGAUGGACGGAGUAAGUUUUAAGGGACCAACAGAUAACGAUUUUUAAGCUGAGAGAUUCAAAUUAAAAUACCUCAAUAGACAUAAUUCAAAUCAUAACACAAGGGUUGUCAUAUAUAUCUACUUAUCCGUAACAAUUGGAAAAAUUAUCUACUCAUAAUGUUUGACUAAACAUAAAAAGAGAGUUAUAAGAAUUACUCCUAAAAUCUCUUCAAAGGAAGUCAAUUCGGAGAACGGCGAGUGCAUGGUAUAUAUUAGUGUCUCAAAUGCGAGUUAAAUGUGCAUUUAUAUCAUUUAUUUGUUUUAAGACUAUAGUAAUGGACACCUCCAUUUCUUUUGAGAAAUGGAGAGGAUCGUAACUCAUCAAAUGCACUAUAGUGCCCGGCCUUGGCGCGUUGCAACAUUCUUUCCUUCGUACGCCAAUUUUGAACACAAAUGUUGUGCUAUAAAUUCACAUGAGUGCAUGCUGCGUUGCACUUUGAUCUUUCUACUAUGCGAGUUCCUUUUAUUCAUAGAUUUUUUUAGGCUUCAAAAGUCAUCUAGUUCUUGUAUUGUAUCAAUCCUCUUUAACUUCUAUAGUGUAAGGCUAAGUCUUAAAAUCAAAAUGAAAAUCUGAAAAUCGAGAAUAGAACAAUGAAAACUACUUAAAAUUCACUCUAAAAAUAUUGACUGAUGAAGAAUUAUCAAUAUGUGAUAAGGUGAGUAUGGGAAAGAUAAUAGAACAAUGUAAGAGAAUUGAGAAACCUCUAACUUUACAUACAGAUGGGGAUUGUUGCCUUGACUUUUAUCCUAAAUUGUCAAAUUUUUAUGUAGUGUGUUGAAGAAACUUAUGACAUAAGGAUAACCAUGAAUGAAGAUUGGGAAGAAAGUAAAAAACUUUUUUUAAAGUUUUUUGUUUGGGAUCAUGCAAAUAAAAUGCUGCUUAAUAUGACGUGCCAAUAUAUGCUUUGGUGAUUGACACCCAUCAAAACUAGUCUUACAACAAUAUUGAAGGUGUAUUGUAUAAUCUUAAGAUGAGAGAAGAGUGAGAGAGAGGUGCCUUUGUAACUUUACAUUUGUGCAUUAAUUGUUUCCUUGACUUUAUUCCUGAAUUAGUAAGUUUUAUGUCGUACGUGUAUUGAAGAAGCUUGUGAGGAACCUUUGUAACUUCCCUUGACUUUUUAAAAAUGUUUUUGAUUGUUGAAGUUGUUUUGUUUUGGGAGAGAUAUAUGUUUAAUUGAUUGACACCUAUUGAAACCCUUCUUAAAAUAGUAAUGAAGGUGUACAAUAUUAAGAUGAGAAAAGAUUGUGAGAGAAACCUUUGUAACUUUAUAGUUAAGCAUUGUUGGCUUAUCUUUCUUUUCUUUCUUUCUCAAUUGACAAAUUUCCAUGUAGUGUGUUGAAGAAGCUUGCGAGGUAGCAUAAACUUGCAUGAAGGAAAAGAUUGUUGAGUGUAGGCAAUUGCAACAGAUAGAUAGAUAGAUAGAUCUAGAGGAAAAAAGUACAACACGUAUGCUGGAAGAAAAUCGUACAUAAGCCACAACAUGCAACCAUUUAACAUCGUCCAUCAUCCAAAUACAUUAUGUAUUUACGUUAUACAAACAUUAUGCUCUAUAAAUAGUCAUGGUAUUCUUGGACUUUGUACCUCAACACUACUUAUAAGCACUUGUUCACUACCCAUUUCCUAAAACAAACAAAGAAACUAUUUUAUGAUGGCUUAUCUUAGAUCCAUCUUCACCACCUUUAUUCUUCUUCUUUUUUCAUUACUAGUUAUUGCCAAUGCAGCUGAUUAUGGUCCAACACCAAACGUUGAGAAGCCUAAAUUUGAAGUAGAUAACAAACCAUAUUCUACAAAACCAAACUAUGAUGUUUCCAAACCUAAAAUAGGUUAUGAGUAUAAUCCAACUCUAGAGAUUGAGAAACCCAAAGCCGAUAUAGAUUAUAAAGUAAAUUUCACGGAACCAAACUAUAAAGUUCGCAAACCUAAAAUAAAUGAUAAAUAUGGUAUGGUUCCAAAAAUAGAGAAUUUUGAACUUGAAACAGAUUCCAAUCAACAUCUCGAAAAAUCGAACGAUGAAAAUCCCAAACCUGAAACAAAUAAUGGGUAUGGUCCAUUACCAAAGAUCGAGAAACCUAUAUCAGAAGCGGUCUACAAACUAAACCACACAAAAUCAAACAAUGAAGUUCCCAAACCCAAAACUCAUUUUGCUUAUACUCCAACCCCAAAGAACGGGAAACCCAAAUCCGAUGCAGUUUACACAUCAAACACCACAAACUCAUAUUAUGAAGUUCCAAAACCCAAAUUUUUUUAUGGAUAUGUUCCAACCCCAGAAAAAAUUGAGAAACCUAAGUCCGAAGUAGUUUACACACCAAAUACCACAAACCCAGACUAUGAUGUUCCCAAACCUAAAACAUAUUAUGGAUGUGGUCCAACCCUAAAGAUUGAGAAACCCAAGUCCGAAGCAGUUUACAAAUCAAAUCACACAAAAUCAGAAUAUAAAUUACCAAAACCUAAACAAAAUUAUGGCUAUAUUCCAGCGAUUGAGAAAUCCAAACUUGAACCAGAUUAUAAUUUAAACCCCACAAAACCAUAUUAUGAAGUUCUCAAAACAAAAGAAAGCUACAAAGUGCAACUUCCCACAUCCAUCGGUGUCCAAGGAAUAGUUUUCUGUAAAUCAGGCUCAAAUUAUUACCCAAUUCAAGGUAAAUUUUCAUUGAUCUAAUAAAAAAAAGUGAAAUGCAAAACAAAAACCUAUCUCGCUAAUUUUUUUUUGCUACAUUUUCUAUGUCUUGCAUGUAUGAAAUUAAAACCAAUUAAUUUAUAUUAGUUUGAACUUUAAAUUGAUGAUAUAUUAUUAGUUAUAUAUUUAGCAUGUGUGAGGGGUGCAGGGGCUGUGGCACGAGUUACAUGUAGAUGUGUGAAUGAGCUUGGAAAUGAGACAAACCCUAUAUCAGUAUUCAGUCAUGCAACAAAUGGUAAAGGUUAUUAUUUUGCUACAUUGUCACAUGCAAAGCUUGGAUCAAAAUUGAAGAUUAAUGAGUGCAAAGCAUACCUAGAGAGUUCUCCAUUAAAUAUUUGUAAAGUUCCCACCAAUGUGAACCAUGGGAUUAGUGGUGCUCCUCUUUCUUCUUAUCGUCUUCUUGAAAAUAAUUUUAGAUUGUACUCUUUGCCACCUUUCUUCUACACCUCUCAAGCUAAACCAAUCCUUAAUGUGCAUGACCAUUGGUUUGUCAAAUAGAGUGGAAUAAAAUUCUAUGUAUGGCUACAAAUAUAAAGAAGAAUGGAUUCUUGACUAUAUUUUUUAUUUGUUAAUUUGUGGACUUAAUUCGUAUGUAAUUGAUAAUUUGAUAUAUAAAUAAAAUCAAGGUUUGUCAUGAGUCAAAAACUUUAUUUAUUUCUUCAUAUUUCUGUAUAUACACUUGCCUAUUUUUGUUUUUUUUUUUUGGGUGAGCUGAGAACAUUCACUUUUAAUUAAUUGUUGAUUUAACCCUGAUUUAAACAUAAAAUUAUUCAAACAACAACGUUGAGGACUUUGAUCUUAGAAUUAUUAAAUUCAAAACUCUACACUUUAUUGGUACAUCUCAAUAUUUAUGACAUGUAUUAUUAUAGUAAUAUUUAUCGAUAUCAGUCACAUAUAUCGAUAAAUAUUAUGGUAAUACAUGUCAUUAAUAUAAUGUAACUGACUUGUGAAUAAUACAAGUGUAGGAUCUAGUUUUAUAAAGAAUGCAUAGUAAUGGCAGUUUUUUUAUUUAAAAAAGAAUCAUAUGAGAAACUUCCAAAUGCUUCAACAUCUCAACUUGCUACUAGUACAAAAACUGAUUUUUAACAUGUUUUUAAGGUCAUAAGUCUAUUUCUUAACCGGUGUAAGAUCUUCCGUUUUAAUAUAUGAAAUUUUUUAGGACGAUUUUUCAACUGGAUUAAAAUAAUAUGGUUCAAUCCGGUUGAGAAUUGAGAUAAACAUUCAUCUUAACAUUUUUAUCAUCAACGCAAUAUUGUGUUACAUUUUAAGUUGGUUGUGAGAAACAAAUAUAAACUUCGUGUUACAUUAUUUUAUGUCGCCUUUUGCCAAAAACCAGAGAGAAUUGAGAUAUAAUACCAAGGCUAAAGUAUACUUUUUAUUCUCUCUAUAAUUUACAAAAUGUUUGUUAUGAUCUUUUAUCGUCUUUUUUAUUCAUUUUAGUCCUUUAUCUUUCUUUUACCGAAUUGACUGGCAUCAAUUAAUAUCAUUGGUUUAAUUAAGACAAUAGGUUUGAGAUUUAGGGAGGUUUCUUUGGCACGACUCCCUUGGACUGACCAUGAAUUGCAAAGUAGUGAAUUUUUAUUGAAUGUUAUUGUAAAACUAAUUCACAUUGAUAGUGCAUACCUUUUUAACUCGUAUAAUUUCUGUCUUUAAAAAAAAGUUUAAUGAUAACCGAGUACUCUAAAUAUUAUGAAGGUUAUCUCACACGAAAUGCAAGAAAGCAAUACAUCUCAAUUUUGAAAAAGGGAUGUGUGAUUAGUUUUUUUUUUUGUUUUGUUUUGUUUUGUUUAGUAGCUUAGUGGUUGGAGCACAUAAUUAAAUGCAGAGAAGUGGGGUGUCCGAGGUUCGAACCCCGGUCCACUACAUAAAUUAUGCAAUGUCUCUACCAACUAAACUCACAGAGAUUGAUUAGUUUUGUUUUUGACGAAAAUCAUAGUGCGAUAUACAUUUAAAGUAUUCGCCUUGUAUCUUCUUAUAUUGUCGCGUUCUAAGUUAUCUUAAAAAAAAUUGGAGAAGAGAAAAUUAUUAUUAAUAGCAGUGCUAACCAUUUUACAAUAGUCCCAAAUAAGAUUUAAAAUAUAUCUCUUGAGAUUAUAUAGUCAAGUUUUGAUAAUAAAUUGACACUUCUUAUGAGUCUUCUCAAUUUGAAUCUUGAAACUUUAACUUCUUUAAUCUCUUUUCCCAAUCCGAGGGAGAUAUCAAUCUCAAGAAGGUUAAUGAUUUGUAUUCCAAUUUCAUCAAAUAUAAUUUUAAUUAUGAUUUUUUACCAUGUAAAAAUUUGCAAUCGCAUUUUUUUCACAAAAGAAUAAAAUGUGUAUCGGGCUUAAAAUGAGUUAAAUUUAAAUUAGGUGUUGUGAGAUGAAUAACUCGGAAUUAAUUAUUCUUAAUUUAUGGUGUCAAAUUACAAAAGUGAAUUCAAGUUGCUUAUAUUUCUAUUACGCUAAAUAGUCAUAGUAAUUUGGAGUUUUAUUUAAGGAAUUGUUUUGCUCAAUAAUCAAACUCAAAUUCUUCUAAACGAUUGUUUUUUUUGAUAGAGUCAUUAACCGCUUGUUUACUAUACGUUGAAUGGUUGAAAAUAUAUGUUAGCUAGCUGGCCAUGUAGUAGAGAUAUGAUCCAAUAUUCAUAGAAAAAAGAAGAUUUAAUCCAAUAAUUAUUUAGGACAUGCAAUUCAGGGUUUUAUCGUGCAUCCAUGUCAUAUCCUACAUCUUAUAAUUAUUAUUAUUAUUAUUGUAGGGACGUGUGCAUUGAUGAAAAAUUCAAAGUUAGUAAUUUAAUAAGUGACCAAAUAUGCUCUAAGUGUGUGUUUUUAGAUAGCAAUACAUGUUCUCCACUCACUAGGUAGGUGAAUGAUCUCUAGUCAUGUAUUUUCUUGCAAGGAAACAACACUCUACAAAUGAAAGACUCCCCUCCUUAUAUUUACCUAGAGCUUUAUUAUUCAUAAGCCACGACGUGCAACCAAUUAUCUUGGUCCAUCCAAUUAUUCAUAUACUCCAUAAUGCAGUAUGUAUUUAUGUUACACAAACACUAUGCUCUAUAAAUAGCCUUGAUAUUCAGGGUAUUCUACCUUACCACUGCUUUGAAGCAUUUACCACCCUUUUUCUGAAACAUUACAAAGAAACUAACUUAUGAUGGCUUCUCAUAGAUCCAUUUUCGCUAUCUCUAUCCUUCUUUUUGCGUUGCUAGCCAUAGCCUCCGCAACUGAUUAUGUGUAUGGUCCAGCACCAAACACUGAGAAGUCUGAACCCGAAAUCGAAGUAGAUAAGAAGUCAUACUCUACAAAAUCAGACUAUGAAGUUUCCAAAUCCAAAACAAAUUAUGAGUAUAGUCCAACUCCAAAGGUUGAGAAAUCCAAACUCGAUAUAGAUUACGAAGUACAUUUAAUAAAACCAAACUAUAAAGUUCCCAAACCCAAAGUAAAUUAUAGAUAUGAUCCCGUUCCAGAGAUAGAGAGACCUGAACCAGAAACAUAUUACAAACACCUCACCAAACCAAACUACGAAGUUCCCAAACCUGAAAUAGAUUAUGGGUAUAGUCCAACUCCAAAGGUUGAGAAGCCUAAGUCCGAAGAAGUUUACACAUCAAACCCCACAAAACCGGACUAUGAAGUUCCCAAAACCAAAAUAGAUUAUGGCUAUGCACCGGCUCCCAAGAUUGAGAAACCCAAGUCCGAAGCUGUUUACACACCAAACCCCACAAAACCGGACUAUGGAGUUCCCAAACCUAAAACAACCUAUGAAUAUGCCCCUGCCCCCAAGAUUGAGAAACCAAAGUCCGAAGCAAUUUACACACCAAACCCAACAAAACCAAACUAUGAAGUUCCCAAACCCAAAACAAAUUAUGAGUAUGCCCCAGCUCCCAAGAUUGAGAAACCAAAGUCUGAAGUAGUUCACACACCAAACCCCACAAAACCUGACUAUGAAGUUCCCAAAUCCAAAACUGAUUAUGGGUAUGCCCCGACCCCCAAAAUCGAGAAAUCCAAGUCUGAAGCAGUCUACACACCAAACCCCACAAAAUCAGACUAUGAAGUUCCCAAAACCAAAACAGAUUAUGAGUAUGCCCCAGCCCCCAAGAUUGAGAAACCAAAGUCUGAAGUAGUUUACACACGAAACCCCACAAAACCUGACUAUGAAGUUCCCAAAUCCAAAACUGAUUAUGGGUAUGCCCCGACCCCCAAAAUCGAGAAAUCCAAGUCUGAAGCAGUCUACACACCAAACCCCACAAAAUCAGACUAUGAAGUUCCCAAAACCAAAAUAGAUUAUGAGUAUGCCCCAGCCCCCAAGAUCGAGAAACCAAAGUCUGAAGCAGUUUACACACCAAAAUCCACAAAACCAGACUAUGAAGUUCCCAAAACAAAUUAUAACUAUGCCCCAGCACCAAAAAUUGAGAAACCCAGACUUGAUACAAAUUAUAAACUACUCCCCACAAAACCAGAUUAUGAAGUUCCAAAACCAAAAGAAAACUACGAAGUGCAACUGCCCACAAUCAUUAGUGUUCAA
Molecule: long non-coding RNA, 49365 nt
Filed under: Medicago truncatula (barrel medic)
Lineage: Eukaryota; Viridiplantae; Streptophyta; Magnoliopsida; Fabales; Fabaceae
Description: long non-coding RNA (MTRU_LNC006702)
Source: RNAcentral